Molecule: long non-coding RNA, 66735 nt
Filed under: Triticum aestivum (bread wheat)
Lineage: Eukaryota; Viridiplantae; Streptophyta; Magnoliopsida; Poales; Poaceae
Description: long non-coding RNA (TAES_LNC001635)
Source: RNAcentral
GCAGAUAAUCGGCGUGAGCAUCCAUCUUUCUCUCUCUCUCUCUCAUCACAAGCAAGCAGCAGCUCUAUCCGGUCGGGUGUGGCAUAUGUGGCGUCUAUCUUGUACUCUUGUCGACCUAUUGUGCGUGUGUGGCGUCAGUCUGUGAUGUGUGCAGCUGGAUGUGCAUCCAUGUUCAUGUGAGUGGCGCUGUACAGGUUGAGGAAGUGGGUAGUUGCAGGCAUAGGAAGUUGCUGACUAGCCGAGGAGGAUUAAGAUUGGUAUGACAUGAUUAGGAUAGUUCCUUGAUCUUGGUCAGAAAAACUGAUCACUCCUUGAUCUUCGUCGAAAGAAUUGAUAGUUCCUUGAUUUGUUUUGGUCUGGAUUAGUACAACAAUGCACUGAUAUUUGUUUUGUAGUGCGGGAGCUUCAAGACAGCAGGGCAGCAGGCUUCACUACAACAUAUUCGUCUAUGAUUUUCUCCCCAAAUCUGAAAUUAUUUGGCCCCUAAAUUUUAAUCCCCGUGAGGAAGUCAUGGUAUUUAUGGACUAUGGUCUAUGCAUGUUGACAAAUUUGAUUGAAGGGUUGGCAAAGUAAGUGUAGUGCUCACCGUUGCAUAUAUAUUCAGGGCAACAUCAAACUUCAAUCAAAAGAAUUUGACCAGGCAGGGAUCUUCAUGAAGCAUUGGAAGUGAGAAAGCUUGUUGUAGAAUCAGUGCCCCCUCCACUCUGCAUUGUCCCUUUGCAUUAUCCUCGACGACAACUCGGGCCACCUUGCUACGAAGUGCGACCACUUGAUCUUCAACCUGUCGGAGAAAAAAGAGUUGAAAUAGCCAAGCAACUUUUAUUGCAUGUUAAUUAUAUGGUCUCCUGUACUGAACAUUUUUCUGCAAUCUUUGUAUUUGCUUUGCUUGAAAAAGCUAGGACUGAACUUUUGGUCCGUUUUGUGUUAAUGACUAAAUGCUUUGUACAGGAAAUCAGUGCUAGAGAUUAGAGUUACUUCAUGUAUAAUACUCCCUUUGUCUCAUAAUAUAUGAUGUUUUUUGAGGUAGUAGCAAAUAUAUUUUGUCUGCUUUCUUCCACAAGUAACAUGUGUGACCGCCCUCCACCCACUUCCCCAUUCUCAACAAGCACCAGAACGUGGCUUUGAUUCUUCCAAGUAGGUAGGAAUAAACAAAUCCUUCCCAAAUUAUGAGUUGUUAUUCUACUGAGCAAACAGAAUGCCCAACAUUCCAGUUUUUGAUGUUAAGGCUCACAAGAGAUGCAUAUGUAUCAUAUUUAAUAUAAUAUCUGCAUUCUUCCUAACUUAGUUUUUUGUUUUGUUCAGAAAGGAUAAAUUGGUGUUUGAUUCAACUGCAAUCCUACGAUGUUUGCUCGAGAAGGCAUGUACUUUAAUAAAGGCAUGAUGUGCAUUUUUCAUAGGUUGACAAACUCUUAUCAAUGAACAACUUUUUGUUUUUUGUUUCCAUUGUAACAUCAACCUUACAUCAUACAUCUUAUCAAUGUUUGAACUGAAGGUAUACAAGAGAGGGCAUGUACUUAAUAGUUUUAGUGUCAAUAUAUUCAGACGACAUGGAUCCAUCAUUGAGUAGAGGAAGACCAUGGAAAGGGCGAGGCAUAAUGUACUGGCAGCAGUAGGUAGCCUUCUGAUCAUAGCAUUGUUCAUAAGAAGUUUUAAAUUGAAAAAAAAUUGACUGCAACGGUUAGGCAUAUAUGGUAUGCAAGUUUAGAGAUGGAUAUAUCAAGUUUACUAUGAACUAGAAUAGGGAUGGUUUGACAAACAACACACUUCAGGCUAACAUUUCCAAAUGGUUGUAGAAAGAACCUACUACUGGUGAGUUAAGUUUACUUUUCAAAAUUGAAGCUUACCAGGGGCAAUAUGGAGUCAUUUGUUACUAUUAUGGUGUUACACAUUCUUCACCUGCAAAUAUGCUCAGUUACUAAACAAGUAGACAUGAUAGUUGGGAUGCAAAGGAUUUGUAGGAGCAUUUUUCUUACAUGCAAAAUGUCAAUGCUUCUCUCUUGCAAUAUCUGAAGUUAGAUUAGAACAAAGGAUCCAGAUUAAAGCAAUCCUAAUUUCUUAUUCUAAAUUGCACAGUUUGUGUGGUCGGCAGUCUUGGAGACACCGGUUUAUCUUUUCCCAUUCCUCUCAUUUGUGUUCUCAUUCCUUUCUCUCAGUUAGUGCAGAUUCGUCAUAACGACUGCUUUGUUUGUUCACCUAGGAUUGAUGGUGUAGAAGGCAGCAGUAGUGGUCUGCUGCAGAUCACAAGGCCUUGCAUUCUGAGGUUCAUUUUUGCCUUCUUAGGAGAUGUUGCUCAUUGUCCAAGUGUCGCUGUGUUCAUCAUCUCUAUAUUCAGCAUAACUAAGAGUAAAGUGUCAGUGACUAGCGCAUCAAACUAUAUUCAUCAUCUCCAUUUUUAUGGCUUGAUAUUGAUUGGGGUUUGGGGAUUGUGAGCAAUUAGGGAAGGUAGAACAAUGAAGAAAUCAAGGAGUUUGCCAAAGAAAUUGCAGUGCUUUAAGAAUUUGGCAGUAUAUCCAAUGGAAUCUCAUCUCUUUAAUGAUUUCUGCGUCUAAAUGCACAAUUGGUUCAUGGAGUCUGCAGAGCGUAUGUCUUCCAGGAGCUUCUUGAAUUAGGUAGGAAAAAAGUGUGGUGAGUAUGUUAUUUCAGACAAGAAUGGUAGCUAUUGAAUGCAAUUCUUGUCCAAAAUUGCAUUCAGUAGCUACCAUUGACAGACCACUGAACUAUGGUGCCAAAAUCUUACACUAGAGAUAAAAAUUACCAUUUUUGGCUAUUCUAACUCCAAUAGACACAAUUUUUGUACCACCUCAAAAAAGACUAUAUUUAAUCUACAAUAUGAUCUCUACCCAGCUCCCUGCUCUUGACAGUUUCACACGAAAACAACAUAAAUGUGUGUGAUCUGUGUGUAGGCACACACAUGCGCAUGCUUGCUCAUAAUGUGCCUAGCUUAGUCUCCUGAGACUGCUUUAUCCCUUUUGUCCAGGGCGCCGCCGGUAAGGUGCUCAAUGUUGUGGUCCAUGAGCGUCCAACCAUCCUUGUCAGCCCAUUUCUAUAACUGGCGUUGUAAGAACGCUGCCCUCAAUUGAUCAUGGCAGUGUUUGCUCCGUAGCUCCCACCAUCAUUACGAGUCCAUGAAAUUACAAUUCGGUGUAGCGAGGGGCUCUUGAAAGCGAUGUGUUGAAGUGUGAUGAUCAAACUUGUCAUCUUGGGAUUGAUAAUGUUCGUCGUAAAUAAAAAAUGUGACUAUUAUUUACGGUGGGGCGAAAAGUAGAAGUGACAACAGCAUGAAUAAAAAACAUGACCACCAUUUAUGGUGGGGAAAAGAGUAGAAGUGACCACACGGAUGAAUAGCUAGAAGUGUGCGAGUAUUUUAUUUCCCCGUUGCAACGCACGGGCACAGUUACUAGUGUACCUAAAAGCACCAAGUUAAUAUUAGAAGCUAAACAGCAAUUGCACAAUGAUGUAGUACACUACUCUUUUAUAAUAUCUUAUAACAUCCAAUAUACUCACAUAUUAGAUGAAUUAAUAUCUUAUAUUAUGGGCCGGAAGGAGUUUAUUGCAUUCUAACAAAUUAUCGGCUGAUUAAGUAUUGUUGUAUCCAUGGGUUAGAGUUAGUUUGAGCUAGUUCUGGCUCAAAUAGCCCUGAAGUAUAUCCAAACAUGAGGGCUAGUUUGAUCCAGUUGCAUCUAACCCACCAAAAAAACCUAUCCAACCCAAGAGGUGCUAAUUGGAGCUAGUUCUUCUAGUGCAUUUAUUGCCAAUCUAACCCUGUCAUCCAAACACCUUUUUGGAUGGAGUUAGUUUAGGGUUAGUCAUGGGCUAGAAGCUAACUCUAACCUCUAGCUAAGUUGAGUAUCCAAACAGGGAUGUGUUGUUGUUGUUGUUGUUGCUGCUGCUCUUCUAUGUAUAUCUAGACAUCAUCAGAACAUUAAGGUAACACCCUUCCUUAUUGCUAUGUAGCCUAGGAUUGCAUAUUUAGACAUUAAGUACAGUGCAUAUUGCUAUGUAGCCUCAAAUAUAUUACAUAUGGCCCUAGUUAACAUAACGAUAAAUGGGUUACAGAUAUAUUCAGUUAAAAGUCCAAUUCACCGAUUAGUCCCUUACCAGCCCCAACCUAUAUGGAACCAGCUACUGAUAUCCUGAACAGUGAGUAUAUAUAAGCCAUGGGAUGAAACUAACCUCGAUGGAAAAUGGCAGUCGUUCCCAAAAUUGCCCUGUGUAGGUACAUCGAGAGGCAUGUUAAGCACAACAGGCUAAACAUCAACCAAAAUUAUCCAUGGCAGAUAAAAUAAUCUCGAAAAGAUAGCUUCAGUGUGAAGGUUUAAGCACGCUAGUAAAGCAAAACAAGUGGAAAGGUGUGGUAACUGCAACAGGCCUAACAUUUAACAAUGAGCAAACAUAGUCAUUCAAACUAGUAUUGUGCCGGUCUAAGUACACUGGUUAUUGUUAAAUAAAAAUGGAAAGGCGUGUUAACUACAAGAUGCAGCAACCAAAUGUAGUAAUUCAUAGUGUAUUGUUGAAACUGGUAUUGAAGAAAUUGAACUUCACACUUCAUACUUGCACAUAUAGAACAUCAUGUUGUGAAUAACUGGAAUAAACAAGGCAUACUACGAACAACCAAAGAUAGCAUUUGAAACUAGACAUAUGCUAACUACAAACAACUGAACAAUCAAAAAACUUUAAAAAAGGCAUAUGCUAGCUAUAACAGGCUUAACAGCAAGCAAAUAUAUGCAUUCCUAUUGGUAUGUUUAAAACUGGAUCGAUGAAAUGUUCUGCAUAGUAAAUAAUUGCACAUAUAGAGCAUCACAUUGUGAACAACUGAAAUAAACAAGGCAUACUGAAAACAACCAAAUAUAGAAAUUAAAACUGGACAUAUUCUCACUACACUAUAAAAGGGACUCGACAAAAGAAAUCAUGGGUUUCCCCCUGUGAAGAGGCACGGCAAAAAAAAUCCUGAGUUUUCUCACUUGUCACAGAUGGCUCGUUCCCGUGGGAAGAGCACGGACCCUGGAUGCGCUCCAUGUUGUCGUAGAUGGGCUCCUUCCCCUUGGAAAAGCACGGUUGUAGGGUGCCCUCCCUGAUGUCGUAGAUGGGCUCUUUCCCCUUGGAAGAGCAGAUGGGCUCUUUCCCAUUGGAAGAGCCGGAGAGGGUGCCCUCCUCGUGGUCGCCAUUGAUGAGGUCUGACUUGGAAGCUGUGGAUCCCAAGCCAGCGUUGCAGAAUGUGUCCUUCAGAAAUGACAAAAGAGGCUCAAUGGCGAUGUAGGAUGGAAAAUUCUUGAUAGCGAGCCAGACAAGAUCAGUGGCAGGGCCAUGGAUGAGAUCAACGGCGGCUGAACCCGAGGGGUUGGGGUUGGGCCACUUAACCUGUGACAUAGCCCGCCUUAGGCCGUCGCUGUUGACGACCUCGAUGCCAUAGCCGGCGUCCGCGACAUACCCGCAUACUCUAGCCCGUUGAUUGAGUGCAUGCUGCCAGUAAUAGUCGUCAGCUUCCUCGGCGACGUCGGGCGAAGAGACCUCAAUACACCUCUUUUGGGCUAGUCGCUCCUCGAGCUCCACGGAAAGCGUAGCCGGGCUUAGGCUGCGACACUCUGGAGUGGGGGUGGGGAUGGGGAUGCGGGUCUAUGGGAAAGGCGGCGUUUGGCAGGCGUCAUCUAAGAAACUCAAUAUGGCAUGGGUAUGGAGAUCGGUAGGUAAGCUGCAUGGGCAAACCAGCAGAUGUUGACAAUGGAGGCCUUGCGGCGGCGGCAGCAACGGCGGGGACCUAGCUAGGGUUUCGAGCGAGGGAGCGUGUGUGCGCGCGCGCGCGCCCGAGGAGGUUUUCGUGUGCGUGUGUGGAGGGGAGCGGGGGUGUGUUUGAGGAAAUGACACGGGUACUGAAAAUUUUACUACGCGAGAGUCAAAGGCGGGAGUGAAAUGCCGGGGCUAUUGAAAAUUUUGAUGAUGGUGCAUCGCACACAGUCUGGAGAUAACAACCGUGUGUUAUGAAACAUAAAAACCCUCGAGGCGGGCAGAUAUUUUCAAGGGAUGUAGGUGGGAUUGGGAACAAGAAACAUCACACACAGUCGAAACAUAAUAACUGUGUGUUAUCAAACAGAAAAAAGCUGCAGGCGGGUAGAUAUUUUUGACAGGGGAAGCCUCAUGGAGCCCAAUGUACUGUGCGGAUGUGCGUGACAGGGGCACCGGCGUGGCACAUAGUUAGUUUGAGUGAACCAUGUCUGUUGCGUCAUCCGACUUGUCUAAUGAGUGAGGGUUAGGUUGACGAUGCAUAUGUAUGUCGCUCCACACUUCAAGCCGACGACGGGGAUUCAUGCAUGCAUGUGUGCAUAGUAUAUGCGCUCAAACUUAAUUAGGUCUGAAUCUCACCAUGACCUAUACUACGAUAACACGAACCAAAGGAAGAAUCCGCCAUGGUAACCUAUCUUGUUGUCGGUCAAGGUGAUCAUGGAUGUCCACGCGGGCCCACGAAUAUAUAGGCUUGUCGCCAAUAAUCACACGAGGGAGUGUACUGUUUGAAGACAACCACUACAUGCAUAUGUAUGGAGGUGAUGCAUGCAUGCAUGUUUGAAUACCAUUUCACAACAUUGAUGUGGCACGUGUGUCAAAAAUCAUACAGUCCCCACACAUAGCGAGAUCGGUUCAUGAUGUGUCGUUGUACUAGCCACUUCGACUCGAUGGGAGGGAUUCAUGUGUACACAUGCAUGUGUGUGUGUUCAAACUGUAUCAUGUCAUCCCAGAGCAUGACCUAUAUAUACCAUAUUACAAAAAAAUCCCCUCCUAAGUCAAAUUAACCUCUCUCGUUGUCAGGCAAAAAGUGGUGAUGGACCAAGUGGGCCCACAGAUGGAAAGCCUUGAUAUCGCUGAUAACCGCUUAAGUGGGUGCGAGAGGACAACCACCAUCGCUCUGCAUGUGGGCCAAACAUAUGUUGAAUACCCAAAAUGCACAACUUUGAUGUGCCACAUGCCUCAAAAACCGUAAACCCCUCACACGGAGCGAGGUUCAUGAAGUGUACUACAUAUGAUGGUCCCCUUCCCCCUCUUCGACACAUACUAUAUGCUCCUACCGUAAUACAACCCAAAAAGAAUCCUCCUUGAUGGUGAAAUUAAUUAACCUCUCCUGAUGUAGGUCAAUGUGAUGCAUGCAUCGACGAUGGCCUUGUGGGCCCACAGAUGAAAGUGUCACACAUGAGUGUCCUAGCUAGGAUAACCACCGCCUGCAUGCAUGGGGCCCAAAGAGGUGUUGUGUGAUGUUUGAAUAGCCAAUUUCACAACUUUGAUGUGGCACGUGCCUCGGAAAUCGAAAAGUCCCGACACUGAGUGAGGUGUACUUGUUCACGGACGCGUACGUAUAGUAUAUAUGCUAGUCCCCUCCCACCUCUUCGAUGCGUACUAUAUAUAUAUACUCCCACCAUAACACAAACAAAAAAGAUUCUACCUUGCUGGUCAAAUUAACCUCACUGCCGGUUGUUCGUCAAAGUGAUGGACGACGACCUCGCCAGCCCACAGAAAGCGUCACACACGAGUAUCGAGUGUCGUGUAGGACAACCAUCGACUGCAUGUGGCCAAAACAUUUAUGUAUGAAAGGGUUGUGUAAUGUUUUAAAUAAUGAAUUCACGACUCUAAUGUGGCACCUGCCUAACAAAACGGCCAACCCACACUGUGGCUCACAACUCGUAGUGUACUGCGAGCCACCGCCACCCGCAGACACACACACACACCCACCCACACACCACGAAUCCACACAACUAUGAUGCAUGUUAAUUUAUCCCGCGGUGAACAUAUGUUACCAAAGGAGGGACGUUUCAAUUGCAAAAAACAGAGGUCAUUAAGACGUUUUAGUACAUUGAUUGAUUUUCUACGGGUAUAAUGUGCAAAAAUCAAAUUUGAGCUACAUGCAGACGUUACUAUGCACCUAAAUGGAUUGCAAAAACACAUGUGUCUCACUGGGUGCAUGUUUACUCCCCAUCCAAGAAAUUUGAAACAUUGAGAAUCUUGAUUUUUAAAUUCUAGUACAUCCAAAACUUAUUUGAAGUUCAUGGAACUUAUCAUGUUGUCAUAUAGACACCAAUACAAAGUGGCAUUGUACUUUUUUGUCAAAUUUGAGACCAGUUUUGAUGUAAUCUUUAUCUAAUUACAAACGGGAGAUUAUUAAUAAUUGGGAACCAAUAUCCCAAAUGGAUUAUUUAUUCGAACCGUGAGCGUUAGACCAACAAUGGAUACGUUUCAUGCUUCGGUUAAGCAAUAAAGCGGCAGCAUUAAUCAUCCAAAUAGAAAAACAAUAUACGUGCCGCCACGUGACCCAUGUGCCGUGCGAGCAGGCGUGAGUUGACGGGACGCAUGCGAGCAGUCCGCCAUGCAGGCAGAUCGAGAGGCGUGCGUGGUGGUGUGUGAAUUGACGGAGGCAUGCUUGCUGUGCAGUGUCAUCGGGAGGCGUGCGAGUAGCUGUAUGAAACGAUGGUAGGCAUGCCAGCAGUCCGGUGUGAAGGCUCACCGGGAGGCGAGCCAGCGGUUUGACCGCCGCCCACCUCUCUCCCACUACUCUAUAUUAAUGGUGCGCCCGAGCGGCCACACCCCCCAUCCUCGCCACACACACAAUCCUCUCUCUUCGAUGGCACCCUCGACGCCGCUCUCAAUCCUAAAAGCCGUCAGUGUAUGAGGAUGUAGCCGAAGCACCCCAUCGGAGGGAGUGGCGACGUAGGGGCUGCUGAAGCACCGGAGCACGACGUGGAGAUGGAGACAGAGGUUGCCGUCACCGCCGAUGAGUUAUCGCUGCACCCUGACAUCAUCGACGGCGUCGAGCUUCCACAGCCGGAGGCAGAGUUCGAGUUCCACACCGACUCUAGUGAUGACCCCGGCGACGACUCCAACGACGACGGACAACUGGUUAGUCAUUUGUACCCAUUUAUGUGUCAAAUAGAUCCUAGGGUUUCUCUAGUUACUCCUGCCUCCCCCUUUUUGGAAUAGAAAUCCUAUGGUUAUGUUCUCACAAUGCAUGAAUUGUGAGUAAGUUUAGUGAGACCCGUGUAGUGUAUUGAUUGUUUGAAUGGUACAAGUGAUAAGUGAUUAGUUGUUUCAUCUGUGCAAAUGAUUUCUGCUAGUAAUUCGACUAGGGUUAGUGUUCGUGUUAAUAAUUCCUAGCCAGGACUUGACAAUUGAUUUUGAAUGACCUACAUAUAUGUUUGUGCCAUUAUUUUCUUCAAGAUUGGUCUGUACAUAGACGACUGUGCUUAAAAAUCGAACCAUAAUCUCUGGAUAUGUAUAAAAAAUAGCCAUAAAUUCCUAAUCCUACUUCACGACAUGUAAACAUUGAAUUGAUGCCAAGUUUGUUUUACUAUUUGUAUAGGUGUUGUCUGACGAUGCGGACAGCGAUGACGAAGAUGUCCAAAGGAGGUACAAGAGGCAAAUCCCGAGGGAGCUUUAUGCGGGAAUGCAUAACAGGCAUAUUAGGACCUGGGAUGGCGGCUAUCGAGGCCCAUUUUGCAACCACAAGCUUCAUGACGCGUAUGAAAGUGUUUUGGCACAUGCAAGAGGACGGGCUGUUGGCUCCUUCAAGCAGAAGUAUUCUCGCAGGGUGGUGCACGACGCGUACGCCGAGUACCUGGCUUCAGGAUUGUGACGACAUCUGAGAUGAGAUGUGGGAUCGAACUAUGUAUGCUUGAGUAUGCUUAAUGAUGGUUGAACUAUGUACUUAUGAUUGAACUAUGCUUGUGUACGUGUACGCUUAUUAUCUAUGUCUGAGUAUGUUUACCUAUGUUUACUUAUGUCUAACUGUGGGAUAUGGGUGCAAUCAGUUUGAUUGAUGGAAUCUACCUCCGUCCUCGUUUAUUGGUCCCCUUUGUAAUUUGUGUUAAAUUUUGACCAAAGAUUUAACUGACAAAAUGUUAGUGUAGGUCGACAAAAAUUAUAUCAUUGGAUGCGUAUUUGAACAUAGUGUUCAAUGAUAUAAUUUUUUGUGACAUGAAUAAACAUUUCUUAGUUAAAUAUUUGGUCAAAAUUUGGUGCAAAUUACAAAGGGGACCAAUAAAUCAGGACGAAGAUAGUACGUCAAUCAUACAUGGUUCCCAAAAUUGGAACCAUGUGCAAUGACUUUCACUUUGCUAGUUGCGUCAAACAGACACGGUUGGCUCUAGCAAACCAUUGCCUCCGAAAUUCUUUGUGGGACAGAAAACCCUCACCACCCAAUUCAAAAAAGAAAAAAAGAAAACCCUCACCAUCCCCACAUCACAAAAACCCUCACCCCACCCACCACCCCCUCCGGUCCCCAUUCACACCUGCACAAGCUCCUUCGCGUCUGUGCAUGGCACCGACUAUCACGGCGGUAACCACUUAGCUCGACGUCUCCCACCGCCGCCAGGCUGCCGGCAAACCCCACCGCAUUUUGCCACUUCCGCUUAUCGCCGCCUAUCGCCAUCAACUUUCGCGCUGCUGCUCGCGGUCGACCCAUCUCCGCUCGGUUGGGGAAUCUGCCGUACUGGGGGUUCUUUCUCAUGGACAACAAGGUAACUAAUUUAAUGAGAUAUUAUCUCAUCUCUUAUCCCAGUUCAUCUGCCUCCUUUAAUCACCUGGCCAAAAUCGUCGUGAAUUCAUUUUUAUUCGAGAUGAUUUGAGGGUUUUCUUUCAUCCAUAGAGUGUACAGUGUGCAGAAACAUCAGGACUUUGCGGCCUCCGCCAGACAUUCCAUCUCACCGUACCAGAUGAUUUGAGGAUGCGCGCGGCUUGUUCAAUCUCAUCCUAAAUCGGUUGGCAUGGCCUACUUUCCUGAACAUAUACUAAAUAUUUCUACAUUUGGAUAAAAGGUGCCACAUGGAUCAUAUACAUCAAAGGGGAUUUUCCCCUCUUCUUUUUUAUAUUAGGCAAAUUAAUGAUGUAUUGUUCUUUCGGUUACUCUCAUAUUUCCAUGACAUCAUGUUUACCCUAUCUGUUUAAUUAUAGAUUUUUGUCCUUCGAUUUUAGUUGAUGUACAGUUCUUUCAAUUUGGGCCCAUAUUUGCAUGUUACCAUAUUUUGUUUAACAAUCCUACCAUUUUCUGCAACGCGUCCCUUGCUAUGCAACAGAAUCUGUAGUGCACAAUCUUUCCCUUUACAUAAAUCAAGACUGCGGGGAUGUCAUACUGAACACAAACCAUGGAUUUACAAUCGUUGCUACUAUAAGACUUGAUGAACGUGGUGACUCCUAUUUUGGCACUGGCCUUUGGAAAGAAAUUUCUAAGAUUUAUGUACUAAAAGCUAGCACUAAAAUUGCAUUGUACAUAUAAGAGCCUGGUCAUGAGAUAUACGCUAACUUCCCCAAUGAUAUCAUCUGUCCAGACUUUGUUCGAAGUAAGUUUUCUUUUCAAGUAUCUGCAUGUUGACUUAUCAAGUAAUAUCAAAUGAAUUGUGUAGUAUUUAAGCAACCAAUUGUUAUUCCAUUUUCUUACGAUAUUCCUAUCUAAUAACUUCUAGUUAUCAAUACACUGUUCUAUUGCCCUAUUUUAACUAAAUAUUCGCUGUACUCCCACUUCUAUCAGAAAACGCCGCUGACAAGGAGACUCCGGAGGUGGAGAACGGGGCUGCCAACAAGCGGAGGCGGGGCGAGCAAGAACCGCAAGCGACUCCAGCAGGCCUAGACUUCAUCAGCAGCCUCCCCGAUGAUAUGCUGACACUCAUCAUCUCCCUCCUCCCAAUCAAAUAUGGGGCGCGGACAAGCGUCCUUUCCCGGCGGUGGCGCCCCCUAUGGAACUCCACCCCUCUCGACCUCAUCGACAUCCACGAGCUCUGCCAUGGCUAUCGCAAAAGCUUGGAUGUGUUCUCCAAGAUCCUCGGCAGUCACCUUGGCCCAACCAGAGGCCUUAGAAUAAGCAAGUUUUGUUCCAAUGGCAAGGACCGAGCCAAGAUUGAUGACUUGUUCUGAUCCCCCGCCCUAGAUCAGCUCAAGGAUCUCACUUUUGAUGAUGGGCAUAUGCACUUGCUGCCAACGUUCACGCUCCGCCUCGCGCCCACGCUGCGCGUCGCCAAGUUCAGGAACUGCUAUCCCCCCUUAAUGACGCUCCCACUCUUAUUCUACCAUCACUGGAGCACCUCGAGCUCGUCAUCUUCUGCCUCCCAAAUGGUUACAUGGAAUGCCUGCUCCGUGGCUGUACUACACUCGAGUACCUUCGUCUUCAGGCGAUCAAUGGGUUGAGUAGCUUCCACAUCACCUCCAUGACUCUCUGGACUAUUUAUGUGUGUUGUUGGUGCGGCAAGAAGACAUCAUAAGAUGUGUACCACAGUAUGGUCACUGAGGACAAACCUGCACUUGAGAGAUUACUUGUAGUUGAUCAAGAAGGUCCAACAAGAAUCAAUGUCAUUUCUACGCCGAAAUUGACAGUGGUGGGUUACUCGUCUAACAAAUACUCCGAACUUGUUAUUGGAUCCACACCCAUUCAGGUACAACAGCCGCCGUCUACCUCUCCUUCUACAAAUUAACAUUAUGUAAUUUUGAAGAUGUAUGUCCGUCUGUCAUCCAGAAAAUGAUUCCGACAAGCUUGACCCCGAAACUGCGCACAGUGAAGGUCUUGGCACUAGAAUCUAUCGGCCCCAACCUGGAGAAGUUCUAGUUUCUUGAGAUUCUUUCCGUGCAUGGAGAAGCUAUAUAUCGAGGUGAUGUUCCUUUCCUGUUAAAUGUUAACCAUAAGGGUGUUCAAUUCGUGACACCUUUUUCCAAGUUUACAAUGAAAAUGUACUACGAUUUCUGAAGGAUUCUUUUGGAGGAUUUCAGUACAUACAUGUCCCCCCCCCACACACACAUAUUGGUUGCUUGAUCCAUAUGGUUACAAUCCAUAAGCAUUUCUCCUUUGAAUUCAUCUGUACUAGUUUUCUUAGGGAACUGUUCAUUCAUUCCAACCUCUUGUGAAGAAGGCUACAUUUUUCUAGAUUGUAAUCAAAUGCCCAUGUUAAUCAUGUCAGAUUGAAGAUGGCAUGUUCGUGCAUUUUACAAAUCCUGCAAUACAAAUAAUAGGCCUGUAGUAGUGUUCAAAACUGCAUGUAGGCACUAACAUGUUUUCUUCUUUUGCAGAUAAGAUUAGGCCCGGUGGUGGACAUUGUGAUAAAAUAUAACAAUCACGUCGACUGCCUAGAUCUGCAUCUCUCAGAAAUUACUUUGAACUCCUAUCGAGGGACAUUACCGGAGAUUAUAUUCGCCAGCUUCUUUCUUGUCAGAGCAAGGGUGCUGAAGGUAAUGAGGUUUUCCCUACAUUUAUUUCACAAAAAUGAAUGGUUUGUUGAUCAGCGUCGGCACUGUGGUAGAAUGGAAUGGGCUCCAAAAAUACUGAAUUUUAUUUUGGAACUUCAAAUGACAGAGUAAUCGAAAGUCAUCGUGUCAACCCCAUACAUGACUUCUCAGUGGCUGAUCCCUUUGCCAAAAUUAUGAGGUUUCGAAACCAGACUUAGAAGUGGUAAUAUUAGUUUGAACCUGUCUGAUAUCCAUGUUCAGCGGAUCAGCGUGAGUGUUUGCAGCUGAUGAGCUGAAUUUCAUUUCUAAUAUUAGUUUGAACCUUGCAAUCUUCGAAUUUGAGCCAUAUAACUCUGGAAUUUGAACCUUGUAAUAUUUCGAGCUUUUGUGGUACAAUCGUUGAAAUGGCAUCGUAUGAGACUCGUAUAUUGGUAGCACUAUUUUGACCUUAAUAUGCAAUGUCUUAGAUUUUAUUAACCAUUCUCGAAUCUGUUUACCUUGGAUCUCAUAGCACACAAUCUGUAUAGCUAACUCGACUGUGACCUUCAACAUUAUUGCACAUAGUUGGUUUCUUCAACCGUGUGCCCUGUAGAGCGAAGAAUUAGUUAUCGCACUCAAGUGUCCAUCAUCACCCUUUUGUGUAACUUUGACCUCAUCACCCACGGGUAAUCUUAUGAUCGAAGUCAUUCCACACACUUUGUUUUACAAUUUUUUUGCCAAUAAACGCCCACGAUUUGUCCCUCUUCUAGCCGACAUGUGGCCAAACUAGCUGGGCGGGAAGCUUGCGUGGUAGCGCGGGAACAGGCUCACCGACGAUACAUUUGGCACCUCUUCAAGCCCACACGUGGUCAAACAAAAUGCAUGCGGUGCGGUGUUGUCAAGCGUGCACUGGAAUCCUCCGCUAUGAAUGUUGUGACAAGACAUGACGAUUACAGGCCGGCUGGCCCCCAGUUAUUAUAGCGGUCAUUUAACCCUUGUGUCUCCUCAACCUUUCGAUCGCACCCCAACAUUUCAAGAAGCACACCCACCAUGACAAAUUAUUAGAGGAUAUCCUGCGCGGCUCCAAUGGCGCUCCGAGCGGCUGCCAACGACGAGCAGCAGUUUACCAUGCAUACCAUGGUGGACACCUACAAAAGUCUCGUGGAGCUCUUAAUGGUGUACACCAACAACCCGGUCUGGGUGGAGCACCCCAUCCACAUCAUGGAGUUGUUUCUUGCCAAGGAGAAGUACAAGGUGGUCGGGUUGGACAUCGAGUACACCUGCACUCGUGAUGGGUCUCGUCCAAGGCCACCAUCGCCCAGAUGUGCGUGCGUAACCACGUCCUCGUCUACCACUACUGCCUAGCCACAAGGCCUUGCGAGCAUUUCGCCAGGUUUUUCAAUAGCCCCCACUACAUGUUCGCUAUGGUGGACAUCACCAACAAUGUAAAGGUGCUUAGGAAUUAGGGCAUCGCCUGCCAGAAUAUUGUCGACAUCCAGGGCCAAUAUUUGAUCUAGGGCAGCAAGGAGCAUGAGAAGUACUCACUGGUUCACCUCUCUGAGGCCAUCAUCGACCCCUACUACUGAAACAUGAAAGAUUCCUACAACAAGGACAAGCGUGCCUGGCACUCGGCCUGGACGGAGAAACUCGACAAAGCUCACAUCUUGCAUGCGGCCAAGGAGGCGUACAAGAGCUACGACAUGUACAGGCGGAUCUUUGACAUGAGGAAGUGCCUCCUUCCCCAAAACGGCAAAGGAUCCAGCUAGAAGCAGAGCAAUGGCAAGCAUCAUCGCAACAAUAAGUAGAUGAUUAGAUCCUCGUUUCUCCUAGUUUAGUAUGCAUGUAAUUGCUUACUUUGGUGUCUGGAAAUAUUCUGUUUGUAGUCACUUGUGUAAUUGUAUGCUUAAUUUAGUUCUGCAAUGCUGUCUUCUUAAGUAUAUAUGUUGAUGCUCUAUAGACAGAGAAAAUCACAUCACACACAGACUAAACAAUGGAACCCGUCGGUGAUGAUUUCAUCAGUCACUGACAAUUGUAUACCAGCAAUCGUUUGCUCACAACACACAUGGCUUGUUAACAAGAAUCAUCUCUGUUGUUAUCGGUCUUCCCACACAUUUCCGACUACAGACCUGUUUGUCGCAUAUCACACACAUCUUGUUAAGUUGAACCAUUUAUGUUCUCUUGGCUCAACACAAAUAGUUCGUCCGAGUGAACUAUAUGCCAUAUAUCGCACACACCUUCAUCUGGCUACCUGUUUCUAUUGUUCCGCCUCAUCACAAACAGUUUAUCCGAGUGAACUGUAUGUUGUAUAUCACACAUGCCUUCAUCUGGCUGCCCAUUUCUUUUGUUUUGCCUCAUCGCAAACAGUUUAUUGAACUGAACCGUAUGCCCCUCAUCGCACAUGCAACUAAAAGAUGAACCAUGUUUGAUGUAUCCUUCAUCGCAAAAUUUUGCAUCCUUUUUUAUGGUUAUUCUACAUCACUGUUUGUGAUAGUGCAUCGCACACAGUUUCGCCAAAGGGUCUCUGAUUGCAGUGUCGCGUUAGCAUCAUCCUGCAGUAGUGUAUGAUCAUUGACUUGGAUAUUGUCAUAAUUAUUUUCUUUUCUAUCAGUUGCCAAAUAGUAAUUUGUUUACCCACUAUUUUCUCAAGAGAAGCCUUUAGUGAAAACUAUGGCCCCCAGGUCUAUCUUUUAUCAUAUAUUAAAACUAAAAAUACCUUGCUGCAAUUUUCUUUUCUUUAUUUUAUUUUGUAUUUUUGUUCAAUCUAUCUAUCAAAAACUAUACAAUUUAAUCUUGCUCAUAACAGUUGAGGGAUUGCCAACCCCUCUACGUGUUGGGUUGCAAGUAUUUGUUGUUUGUGUGCAGGUGUUGUUUAUAUAGUGUUGCUUUGGUUCUCCUACUGUAUUGAUAACCUUGGUUUCAUAACUAAGGGAAAUACUUAUCUAUACUAUAUUGCAUCAUCCUAUCCUCUUCGAGGAAAUCCCAACGCAGCUCACAAGUAGCAUGGGUCCCGCCGGCUGCUUGUCAUUGUAGCAUCUAUGCGAUGGCGUCAUGUGGUGGUUGGCACGGUGCGUCUAUAGUGUCGGGCCGUCUGGGAGUCAGUCGCCUCGGUCAGCGGUACUGGUGGCACAGUAGCCACGUUCUCUAUGAUGUGGGAGACAUCUUUUCCCUGUACCUGGUACGGUUGGAUUUGAAAGGUGCUGACCCAGCCGGCUGCCGGCUGCCGGUUCGUCUUGGGCGGCGCUCCCAGGCGGCCUCCAGCAGGUGGAGCCGGCUAUGAGGGCACCGAGCCAUAUAGAAGUUUGGAAAUUCUUAUUGGUAUCCUUGAUAUUACCCAAGGGUCAUUCCCCCGACAAAUUGUUUCAUUAAUAUUCAGAACAGUUUCGAGAGGAUCCGAAAGCAUUGCUGGAAGGGUUUCGGAGAGUAUAGGGUAAUACCGGGUAUUAUUGAUAAAUAAUAUAUAGGUGAAAAUAUUUUCGGGGCUGUUAAAUUAUAUAUAAAAAGGUCUGAAAAUAUUUAGAACACUUAUGUAUUUAAUUUAAUAUCAACAGGUCUAAAAAGGCCAACUGGUGGAAGGCAACUUGGGCCGCCAAGGCCCAAGUGGGGGAGGCGCCCCCAUAGCCAUGGAAGGAUGCUGAAUUGGAGGGGGAGGAUGUUGGGGAACGUUGCAUAAAAUAAAAAAAUUCCUACGUUCACCAAGAUCAAUCUAUGAGUUCAUCUAGCAACGAGAGAGAGGAGUACAUCUACAUUCCCUUGUAGAUCGCGAGCGAAAGCGUUCUAGAGAACGGGGUUGAGGGAGUCGUACUCGUCGUGAUCCAAAUCACCGGAGAUCCUAGCGCCGAACGGACGGCACCUCCGCGUUCAACACACGUACGGUCAGCGUGAAGUCUCCUCCUUCUUGAUCCAGCAAGGGGGAAGGAGAGGUUGAUGAAGAUCCAGCAGCACGACAGCGUGGUGGUGGAUGCAGCAGGGUUCCGGCAGGGCUUCGCCAAGCGACUACAGGAGGAGGAGGUGUAGCAAGGGGGGAGCCGCCAGAUGUCAGGGUGCGGCUGCCCUCCCCCCCUCUUUAUAUAGGGACCCCAGGGGGGCGCCAGCCCUGGAGAUGGGAUCUCCCAAGGGGGGCGGCGGCCAGGGGGGUGGAGUGCCCCCCAAGGCAAGUGGAGGCACCCCCUCCCCUAGGGUUCCCAACCCUAGGCGCAGAGGAGGGGCCAGGGGGGCGCACCAGCCCACCAGGGGCUGGUUCUCCUCCCACUUCAGCCCAUGGGGCCCUUCGGGAUGGGUGGCCCCACCCGGUGGACCCCCGGGACCCUUCCGGUGGUCCCGGUACAAUACCGGUGACCCCCGAAACUUUCCCGAUGGCCGAAACUCGACUUCCCAUAUAUACUUCUUUACCUCCAGACCAUUCUGGAACUCCUUGUGACGUCCGGGAUCUCAUCCGGGACUCCGGACAACUUUCGGUUUGCUGCAUACUCAUAUUCAUACAACCCUAGCGUCACCGAACCUUAAGUGUGUAGACCCUACGGGUUCGGGAGACAUGUAGACAUGACCGAGACGGCUCUCCGGCCAAUAACCAACAGCGGGAUCUGGAUACCCAUGUUGGCUCCCACAUGCUCCUCGAUGAUCUCAUCGGAUGAACCACGAUGUCGAGGAUUUAAGCAACCCCGUAUACAAUUCCCUUUGUCAAUCGGUACGUUACUUGCCCGAGAUUCGAUCAUCGGUAUCCCAAUACCUCGUUCAAUCUCGUUACCGGCAAGUCACUUUACUCAUACCGUAAUGCAUGAUCCCGUGACCAGACACUUGGUCACUUUGAGCUCAUUAUGAUGAUGCAUUACCGAGUGGGCCCAGAGAUACCUCUCCGUCAUACGGAGUGACAAAUCCCAGUCUUGAUCCGUGUCAACCCAACAGACACUUUCGGAGAUACCUGUAGUGCACCUUUAUAGUCACCCAGUUACGUUGUGACGUUUGGUACACCCAAAGCACUCCUACGGUAUCCGGGAGUUACACGAUCUCAUGGUCUAAGGAAGAGAUACUUGACAUUGGAAAAGCUCUAGCAAAAUGAACUACACGAUCUUGUGCUAUGCUUAGGAUUGGGUCUUGUCCAUCACAUCAUUCUCCUAAUGAUGUGAUCCCGUUAUCAAUGACAUCCAAUGUCCAUAGUCAGGAAACCAUGACUAUCUGUUGAUCAACGAGUGUAACACCUCGGAUGUAACUUUCCAUCUUUGUAUCUCCAACUCUUGCCAUUUUCGGCUAUGUGAUAUGUUAUUCCCUCCGUGGUUGGGUUUUGUCUUUUGUUUUGCAUUUUAUUCAUUUCAUGCAUAUCAUAUCAUGCCAUCUCAUGUUGCAUCUUGGUCAUAUCAAGCAUAGCUUAGUGCUUGCCAUGUUGCAUUUUGUCAUUCAUGUUGUUGCCAUGAGCAUCAUGGGCAUGACCCUUCUAACCCCCCCCCCCCCUUUCAAACCAUUGCACAAUCACUUCUCCUUCCUUCCCUUUUCCUUCCAUUCUUUGUGAGUGCCACUUUGCCUCCGCCAUAAAUGUUCAUCUUUUCCCCAAUAUUCUAACACCAUGUACCUAGCCUCUCUGCCAAAUUACAGCUCAUUUGAAGUUGUGUUGGUUAGGUUCAAAAAUGCUCCAAGUUUGAACUAUAUUCAAACUUGUUGUAUUUUUCUACCUCUAAAAAAUACCCAACUCAAUUUUAUCAAAUUGAGAAUAAUUCCAGAAUCUUGAGGAUAUUUUCAUAUCUCUCACAAACCCCCCAAUCCUUCUGUGCUUUUCGCUCUUUUAUUACUGUUCAAAGGAAUGGGAAAGAGCCAGAGGGAGAGAGAGAGAGCACCAGCAGCAGCGCAGCCCAGUAGCAAGCAGUCCAUCCGCGGCCCAGCAGCCCUCCUGCAGCCCUUUAGCCUGCAAGCGACAGUUGCAUCGUCCUCCUGUACGGCAAGACAUACAGAGGAGACACGUCGGCACGCCAGAUGAUUUGACGGCCGGAGCUCGUCCUUAGACCCCUAUAAAGUUGUCCCCGGUGCCCUAGGGUCUCCCCUCAACCGAUCCCCUCCUCUCCUUCCUUCGCCGCCGCCCGGUAAGUCCUCGCUCGUGCCCCAUAGCCGUCGCCCGCAUCAUGGCCGAGGCAAGCUGGAGCUCGUCCCCGGCGUAGGAUCCGCCAGCAGCGCCCCGCCUCCCUCCAAAUGCUCUGGGUGAUCGACAUCGUCUUCUUCCUGCUGUGAACCAAGGCAGAAGACGCCAAGUCCGGCUACUUCCCUGUCGUCCUCUUCCUCCCCUGCUUCGCGGACAGCAGCCCCGCCAGGUUCAGAGCUCGUCCGCAUCGCCGCAGGCUCGUCUCCGUCAUCGUCUUCUUGUCCUAGGGUAAGGAGGUAUUCCCAACUUCCUCCCUGCUCCUUCCUGUCGUCAAUAGAUCACCGUAGGCGCUGCUUCGAUUCAAUCUUUCCCGUGCUCUCGGUGCUCUGUCGAUCUCUGUAGUUUUAGUUGCGCAUGUUUUGCUGCUGCACGUGCACACGCCGCUUGCGUUCUGCGAGCUCGUGCUCAAGCGUUUGCUCGCGCACCCCUACAACCGCACUCCCUUGCACUUCCCGCAGGCCCGCUGCUGCUCUGCAUUGCAAGCCAUCGCCUUCUCGCUCGUCAACGCAGGCGCCGGUGAUUUCUGUGUUGCCAACACCAAAGGCUCGACCUUCUGGCCCUGGUUCAAAAGGAGCCAGGCGCCUCUCUGGGUACACACACCUCCCUCUAGCGCACUGGUUAGCCUGCCUCUUUCCUACCUAGGAGACUUGGGUUCGAGUCCGAGGUUCCACGUUUUUUAGUGGUGGCUUUUAUUUUCACUGUGACUAUGACGCCUUGGUCCCACUGUCAUCCACACACCCAGCCACAUGGACCACGGCCCUACCAGUCAGUCUAACGGCUCGGUACAGCUUGGGUGCACCUAGUUUUCCCCGCAUGACUUCUGUUUUAUUCCAAUUCGGAACAUGCCAGAUUUGGCAUAUGCUGAGGUUUCCGUUUAGGGCAGGUUUUAACUUAUUGCACUCGUGAUGAUUUUUCUACAGCAACCCCAACAUAUUAUAUAUGUUUUUGGGGUAGAAAAAUCCCACCAAUACAGUGGUGGCAUUAGUUUCUGCAUUUGAGCAAGUUCAUGAACAUGUCAUUUUACAUCAUGUUGCUGUUUUGUCUUUCAUGUGUAUAUUUAUGCAAUUAUACUAUGAGGUAGUUUUGCACAUGAACAUGCUCUUCAUCAUGCCUACUUGCUUCUGGAAUUAAGCUCCUGCCAUGAUAUGUUUUAUUUUGAGUUAAACACGCUUGUUAACAUGCCAACAUGAAUCUGUUUUUGCCAUGUCCUGAAACUUCACUAAGUCUAGAACUGUUAAUAAAAACUUGCUAUGUUCACAUGGGUGCCAUCAUAUUUUAUGAUCCUUUUUGGCUUAUGGUCAGUAAGGGACUUUUGAUCUAUGCUUUGAGUAGGUUCAUGCCAUGCCUUAUUUUGCUAUUAUAAGUUCCUGUAGCAUGUUGAUAACCUGCUCUGAACAUUGCUUCGUGAUGCUGUUUAUGCCAUGUCCAACCUGAUAUUUUUUGCACUUUCACCAUGCUUGUUUGAACCUGUUAUGAUGUGAUUUAGCCGUAUCUCAGUGUUCCUCUUUUGUUAAGCAUCUCUUGUAGAUCACUUCCACAUGUUUUGUUUUUAUGUUGGGUUCGAGUCCCAGGUUCCACGUUUUUUUAGUGGUGGCUUUUAUUUUCACUGUGACUAUGACGCCUUGGUCCCACUGUCAUCCACACACCCAGCCACGUGGACCACGGCCCUACCAGUCAGUCUAACAGCUCGGUACAGCUUGGGUGCACCUAGUUUUCCCCGCAUGACUUCUGUUUUAUUCCAAUUCGGAACAUGCCAGAUUUGGCAUAUGCUGAGGUUUCCGUUUAGGGCAGGUUUUAACUUAUUGCACUCGUGGUGAUUUUUCUACAGCAACCCCAACAUAUUAUAUAUGUUUUUGGGGGUAGAAAAAUCCCACCAAUCCAGUGGUGGCAUUAGUUUCUGCAUUUGAGCAAGUUCAUGAACAUGUCAUUUUACAUCAUAUUGUUGUUUUGUCUUUCAUGUGUAUAUUUAUGCAAUUAUGCUAUGAGGUAGUUUUGCACAUGAACAUGCUCUUCAUCAUGCCUACUUGCUUCUUGAAUUAAGCUCCUGCCAUGAUAUGUUUUAUUUUGAGUUAAACACGCUUGUUAACAUGCCAACAUGAAUCUGUUUUUGCCAUGUCCUGAAACUUUAAUAAGUCUGGAACUGUUAAUAAAGACUUGCUAUGUUGACAUGGGUGCCAUCAUAUUUUCUGAUCCUUUUUGGCUUAUGGUCAGUAAGGGACUUUUGAUCUAUGCUUUGAGUAGAUUCAUGCCAUGCCUUAUUUUGCUAUUAUAAGUUCCUGUAGCAUGUUGAUAACCUGCUCUGAACAUUGCUUCAUGAUGCUGUUUAUGCCAUGUCCAACCUGAUAUUUUUUGUACUUUCACCAUGCUUGUUCGAACCUGUUAUGAUGUGAUUUAGCCGUAGCUCAGUGUUCCUCUUUUUCUAAGCAUCUCCUGUAGAUCACUUCCAUAUGUUUUGUUUUUAUGUUGGGGUGCUAUAGCAUAGUUUCUUGUUGCAUGCUAAGUAGCAUCGUGCUGUUAAUCGCAGCUUUGCGCCAUUCUUGUUUUGCUUGCCAUUUGCAAACCGUGCAUCCGUUUCCGGUGAUCCUUAUAUCGAUUUCAACCGAAAUCAUCUCAUCUUUCCAGCGGCAUACUUGGUUUGCCAAGUUGAUGCCUUGUUCAUCCUUUUUCCUCCCAAAGCACGCAUACGCAUUGCAUAUCACAUCUCGCAUAUCAUGACGUGUAUUGCAUCAUGUUGCUUGUGCAUUGCAUCGUGAUUUAUUGUGGUUCCUUUGCUUGUGUUCUUGCUUUGGGUAGAGCCGGGAGAUGAGUACGUGCACGAGGAACCUGUUGAGAACGCUUACGAGGAUCAAGCCUUCGACAACUCUGAGAACCUUGCAGGCAAGAUGACCAUACCUUUGAUAUCACUUCUAUCUUUGCUUGCUAGUACUCGCUCUAUCGCUAUGUUAGCUCUACCUACCAUUGUUUAUCAUGCCUCCCUAUUGCCCUGUCAAACCUCUAAUCAUCCUGUCCUAGCAAACAUUGUUUGGCUAUGUCACCGCUUUUGCUCAGCCCCUCUUAUAGCGUUGCUAGUUGCAGGUGAAGAUGAAGUUCGUUCCUGGUCGGAACAUUGGUAUUUUGGGAUAUCACAAUAUCUCUUGUUUAAUUAAUGCACCUUAUAUACUUGGUAAAGGGUUGAAGGCUCGGCCUUAUGCCUGGUGACUUGUUCCACUCUUGCCGCCCUAGUUUCUGUCAUACCGGUGUUAUGUUCCUUGAUUUUGCGUUCCUUACACGGUUGGGUGAUUUAUGGGACCCCCUUGACAGUUUGCUUUGAAUAAAACUCCUCCAGCAAGGCCCAACUUUGGUUUUAUCAUUUGCCACCUAAGCCUUUUUCCCUUGGGUUUUCGCGAGCCCAAGGGUCAUCUUUAUUUACCCCCCCGGGCCAGUGCUCCUCCGAGUGUUGGUCCAAACUAGAGCAGCGUGCGGGACCAUUCCUUGGCAACUUGGAUUACGCCGGUACUUGUACGCUUAGCUUAUCCGGUGUGCCCUGAGAACGAGAUAUGUGCAGCUCCUAUCGGGAUUUGUCGGCACAGCGGGUGGACUUGCUACUCUUGUUUUACCAUUGUCGAAAUGUUUUGCGAAUCGGGAUUCCGAGGCUGAUCGGGUCUUCCAGGGAGAAGGUAUAUCCUUCAUUGACCGUGAGAGCUUGUGAUGGGCUAAGUUGGGACACCCCUGCAGGGUAUAUAAUCUUUCUGAAGUCGUGCUCGCGGUUAUGAGGCAGAUGGGAAUUUGUUAAUGUCUGGUUGUAGAUAACUUGACACUUGACUUCAUUAAAAUGCAUCAACCGCGUGUGUAGCCGUGAUGGUCUCUUCCCGACAGAGUCCGGGAAGUGAACACGGUUUGUGUUAUGCUUGACGUAAGUAGUUUCAGAAUCACUUCUUGAUCACUUCUAGCUUCUCGACCGAUUCGUUGCUUCUCUUCUCGCUCUCACUUGCGUAUGCUAGCCACCAUAUAUGCUUAGUGCUUGAUGCAGCUCCACCAUAUUACCCCUUACCUGCCUAUGAGCUUAAAUAGCCUUGAUCUCGUGGGUGUGAGAUUGCUGAGUCCUCGUGACUCACAGAUUCUACCAAAACAGAUGCAGGUGCCGAUGAUACCAGCGCAGAUGGCGCAACUGAGCUGAAGUGGGAGUUUGAUGAGGCCCUUGGUCGUUACUAUGUAUCGUUUCUAGAUGAUCAGUAGAGGAGCCCAGUCGGGACGAUCGGGGAUCUAGCAUUUGGGGUUGUCUUCUUUUCAUUUGAACUUGACCGUAGCCGGUCUAUGAAUGUAUUUUGAAUGAUGUAUGAUCUUAAAUUAUGUAUUGUGUGAAGUGGCGAUUGUAAGCCAACUCUCUUUAUCCUAUUCUUGUUCAUUACAUGGGAUUGUGUGAAGAUGACCCUUCUUGCGACAAAACCACUAUGCGGUUAUGCCUCUAAGUCGUGCUUUGACACGUGGGAGAUAUAGCCGCAUCGUGGGUGUUACAAGUUGGUAAUCAGAGCCAUCCCCGACUUAGGAGCCCCCUGCUUGAUUGUUUGCUGGCGAUGUUGAGUCUAGAACAAAAAUGUUUUGAGUCUUAGAAUUAUAUAUAUCGGAGAGUAGGAUUCUUUUUACUCCUCAGUCCCUUCAUCGCUCUGGUGAGGUCUCCUGACGUAGAUGUUUUGACUGUCCUCUUCUCAAAUUUCACUAAAAAAAAUUUAGGAUCACGCGGGUAUCUUGGAAUCGUUCCGAUGGUUUUGUGACGAGAACAUUGUUCUUGGUGCCUCCUGUCUAUUAUGUGGCUUUGACCCGGGGAGUUGAGCUCUGAGGUGUUGUCGUCACAAUUUUAUCGUUGCAGUUCUGGAAUACCUGAGUUUUGCCGACAUCGAAAAUCUCUUUUAUGCAGUUGUUGGUGAGAUAACCUCGACGCCACCCAGUAUUGGGGCGGGAGUUCGGGAGUAUUGCCAUAACUCAUAUAACGGAUGCUUUUCGAAGGUUGAGGUACACGAUUUUCGAAGAUUUCUUGGUUAUGUGUUGACGGAUGGAUACAGCUGGAUGUAGGGAUUGUUAGUUUGGGUGAGAUAUAUUGCUUCCCCUGUAUCCCCAACACCAGAUUGCAUAACCAGAAAGUUUCGGGAGUUUAUAGGUGGGAUUCAAGUAGCUCUAGCAUUUCUUCCCGCAGAUAUUUGGUUUGUGAUUGGGUAAUCCUUACCACUUAUUUAUUCCAGUUGUACCUUGUUUAUUUCAUUCAUCAAUCUCUAUUCAAGUGGCUUCUCACCUUUAUGGGCGUGUGAUGUUUGCUUUGGAAUUCAUUCGUUCAUCCUUGUUCAAAUGUUUAUUGUGAAGACUAUAUGUUGCAAUUUCUAUCCGUUGAUUCAACUUGUCUAUCUGUCUAUCAAGAUGCUAACGGAUGUCACCCUCUUCAGGAUGGCUCUGCCAACGCGUCAGAAUACAGAACGCAAUGAUGGGAGUCAGGCGAACCCUCCACCUCCACCUCCGCCUCCGGAGGCAUGGCAAGCUUUGAUGGCAGCCACAAACGCCAAUGCCCAGAUGAUGAUUCAGCUCAUGCAAGAGCGCAACCAAGGCCAAGGCAACCAAGGGAAUCAAGGUCAAGGGCAUUUCAAUCAUCAGCUUCUAUUUCCUACCCUCAACCAAUUCCUUGCAAAUCAGCCGAAGUCUUUCAGCUACUGUGCCGAAGCCACAGACGCCGAUGAUUGGCUCGUGGAUAUCAACAAGCAUUUUGAAUGCAGCAAUGUCAGGCCUGAGGACUAUGUCAAGUUCGCUUCUUUUCAGCUCAAGGAUCAGGCAGCUGAUUGGUUCCAGCAAUACAAGGAUUCCAGAGGAGGUCAAGUGAUUACUUGGACUGACUUCUUCGGGACUUUAAAGCUCACCACAUUCCUACCAGUGUUGUUGAGAGCAAGCGUGAGGAGUUCCCCAAUCUCAAGCAAGGCAACAUGUCAGUGUACGAAUACAACAAGCAGUUUCAGAAACUUACUCGCUUCGCUAAACAAGAUGUUCCAGAUGAGAAGAGUAUGAUCUAUCAAUUCAGAGGUGGCCUUAGAGAGGAUCUGCAGUUAGCUCUCGUUCUUGUUGAGCCUACUCAGUUUGAUCAAUUCUACAAUAUGGCACUCAAGCAAGAAGGUGCUCAGCUUAAGUGUGAGGCUUCUAAGAAGAGAAUCAGGGAUGCAGUCCAGUCUUCUUCUUCCUCACAAGUGGCAGCUAAGCAGCAGAAGUUCUAUCUUCCUCCUCCUCCGUUUCAUCAGCCUUUCCAACAGAAGAACUCAUGUGGUCGUGGAUCUUCCCACCCACCCAACCCAGGCUAUCAGAACAAGUCUCAGCCUCAAGCUCCAAGGUCAAGUGCUCCUUAUCAUCGUCCGCUCUCAGAAGUGACUUGCAACAAGUGCCAGCAGAAAGGUCACUACGCGAACAAAUGCUUCAAUCAAAGGCGCCUUCCUCCUCCUCCUCCUGUGAGAUCUUCAAGCAAUGCAGUGGUCAAGCAUAAUUCCAAGUUUGCAAAGGUGAACAUGAUGAAUGCAGCUCAGGCAGAGGAUUCUUCAGAUGUGAUCAUCGGUAAUCUUCCAGUUAAUGAUAUUCCUGCUAAAGUUCUUUUUGACACUGGUGCAUCGCUUAGUUUAAUCUCAAGACCAUUUGCAUCUAAGCAUGAUUUGUCUUUCCAAGAAUUGCCUAGACCGUUAGCAGUUGUCUCUCCCGCUAAAAGCAUGAACGCAAGCUACAUGGUUCCGGAUGUUUCCAUCAAGAUGGGUGACUAUAAAUUUCUAUCUUCUCCAGUUGUUCUUGGCGAUUUUGAUAUUGAUCUAAUUCUUGGGAUGGACUGGCUUUCUAAGCACAAGGCGCAGCUUGAUUGUGCUGCCAGGCAAAUUCAAUCGACACACCCUUCUGAGGAUGUUAUCAUCUAUGCUGCUCGCGAUGAAACCAUUCGGUUGUUUUCUCUCAAUGAGAAGGGCGAGUUGGAUGCUAUUUCUCAGAUUCCAGUCGUUUGUGAGUACCAAGAUGUCUUUCCAGAAGAGCUUCUGGGUAUGCCUCCUCAUCGGCCAGUCGAGUUCGUUAUUGAUCUUGAGCCUGGAACUGAACCGGUUUGCAAGCGUCCUUACAAGCUUGGACCCAAGGAGCUGAAGGAAUUGAAGAAGCAGCUCGAUGAACAAGAGCGUCUGGGUUUGAUCAGACCGAGUUCAUCCCCAUGGGGUUGUGGAGUUCUUUUUGUCCAGAAGAAGGAUGGCACGGACCAACUUUGCGUCGAUUACCGUCCAUUGAACAAGAAGACAAUCAAGAACAAGUAUCCACUUCCCAACAUCAAUGAGCUUUUCGAGCAACUCAAAGGUGCUAAAGUAUUCUCCAAGCUUGACCUUCAUAUGGGUUAUCAUCAGAUUCGCAUUCGUGAACAAGAUAUUCCCAAGACAGCAUUCAGAACAAGCUAUGGUUCUUAUGAAUAUAUUGUCAUGUCUUUCGGCCUUGUCAAUGCUCCUCCAACAUUCUCUCGCAUGAUGAACUUUAUCUUCAACCCCUACACCAAUGAAUUCAUUCUGGUGUAUCUCGAUGAUAUUUUAGUCUUCUCCAAGAAUAAGCAGGAUCAUGCCAAACAUUUGCGAUUGGUGCUCGACAAGCUUAGAGAGCAUCAGUUCUAUGCGAAGUUUUCCAAAUGUGAGUUCUGGCUUGAUGAAGUUCUUUACCUUGGCCAUAUCUGGCCAUAUCAUCUCUGCCAAGGGCAUUGCUGUUAAUCCCGUGAAGGUUUCUGCAGUUCUGAAUUGGGAACCUCCUCAGAAUGUCAAAUAGCUCCGCAGUUUUCUUGGUCUUGCAAGCUAUUGCCGAAGAUUCAUUGGGAACUUCUCUAAGAUUGCAAAGCCUCUUUCCAACCUCCUUCAGAAGCAUGUCAAGUAUGUCUGGAUGCCUGAGUGUGACGUCGCUUUCAACACCCUCAAAGAGAAGCUAGUCGCAGCUCCUGUCUUGACUCCUCCUGAUGAAUCCAAGCCAUUCAAAGUAUUCUGUGAUGCUUCCCUUCAAGGUCUCGGUGCUGUGUUGAUGCAAGAGAAAAAAGUUGUGGCCUAUACCUCUCGUUAGUUGAAGCCCAACGAAAAGAACUACCCCACUCAUGAUCUUGAGUUAGCGGCAGUUGUCCAUGCAUUGAUAACAUGGAGACACCUCUUAUUGGGAAGGCAAGUGGACAUUUUCACCGAUCACAAGAGCCUCAAGUAUAUCUUCACUCAACCCAACCUCAACCUCAGGCAAACUCAAUGGGUCGAAAUGAUUCAAGAGUACAAUCCGAGUAUUGAAUAUAUUCCUGGCAAGGCGAAUGUGAUUGCAGAUGCUCUGAGCAGAAAGGCUUAUUGCAACAGUCUAAUUCUCAAGCCGUUUCAACCGGAUCUUUGUGAGGCUUUCCGCAAGCUGAAUCUUCAAGUUGUUCCUCAAGGCUUUCUUGCCAACCUCAUAGUCUCUCCUACUUUGGAAGAUCAAAUUCGUGAGGCACAACUCCUGGAUACCAUGGUGAAGAAGGUGAAACGUGGUAUUGACAAGGGCAUUCUCAAAUACAAGUGCUAUCGCUUGGAUGACAAAGAUAGUCUUUUCUUCGAGGAUCGAAUUGUGGUUCCCAAAGGCGAUCUGAGAAAAGUCAUCAUGAAUGAGGCACACAAUUCCCUCCUAUCCAUUCAUCCUGGAAGUACAAAGAUGUACCAUGACCUCAAGCAGUCAUAUUGGUGGACUCGAAUGAAGCGAGAGGUUGCUCAAUUCGUGAAUGAAUGUGAUGUCUGCAGAAGAGUGAAAGCAGAACACCAACGACCAGCUGGUCUCCUUCAACCUCUUGCUAUUCCGGAAUGGAAGUUUGAUCAUAUCGAAAUGGACUUCGUGACUGGUUUUCCUAAAUCCAAGCGUGGAAAUGAUGCUAUCUUCGUUGUCAUUGACAAGCUUACCAAAGUGGCUCAUUUUCUUCCUAUCAAAGAAUCUAUCACAGCAGCUCAGCUGGCAGAGCUAUACACCUCCAGAAUUGUCUCCUUGCACGGCAUUCCACAAUUGAUAUCUUCAGAUCGUGGAAGCAUCUUCACUUCUAAGUUCUAGGACUCCUUUUAGACGGCCAUGGGCACCAACAUUCGUUUCAGCACAACUUUCCAUCCUCAAACAAGUGGCCAAGUCGAGCGAGUGAAGAUAUGCUCAGGUCUUGUGUCAUUUCCUUCGGUAUGAAGUGGGAAGAUUGUCUUCCAUAUGCCGAGUUCUCCUACAACAACAGCUUCCAAGCGAGUUCGGGCAAGGCCCCAUUCGAAAUUCUCUAUGGCAGAAAGUGACGUACUCCUCUCAAUUGGUCUGAGACAGGUGAACGCCAACUUCUUGGCAACGACUUGAUCACAGAAGCCGAAGAAAUGUGCAAAGUCAUUCGUGAGAAUCUCAAAGCCACGCAAUCGCGACAAAAGAGUUACUAUGAUAGAAAGCACCGUGACUUGGCUUUUGAAAUCGAAGACCAUGUCUACCUCCGCGUCUCUCCAAUGAAAGGCACUUGUCGCUUCGGUAUCAAAGGGAAGCUUGACCCUAGAUACGUGGGUCCUUUCAAGAUCAUUGGCAAAAGAGGCGACCUCGCCUAUCAACUUGAGCUUCCAUCCAACUUCACGAACGUGCAUGAUGUGUUUCACGUGUCACAACUUAGCAAGUGCUUCAAGACUCCUGAGCGCACUAUCAACUUCGAAGAGAUUGACCUCCAGGAAGAUCUCUCUUAUCAUGAGCACCCCGUUGCUAUUCUUGAAGAAACCGAGCGCAAGACUCGCAACAAGUCAAUCAAAUUCCUGAAAGUGAAGUGGUCACACCAUUCCGACCGAGAAGCCACCUGGGAGCACGAGGAUCACCUACGUUCCGAAUAUCCUGAGUUCUUUCAGUCCUAGAUCUCGGGACGAGAUCCUCUUGUAGUGGUGGAGUGUUGUAACACCUCGGAUGUAACUUUCCAUCUUUGUAUCUCCAACUCUUGCCAUUUUCGGCUAUGUAAUAUGUUAUUCCCUCCGUGGUUGGGUUUUGUCUUUUGUUUUGCAUUUUAUUCAUGUCAUGCAUAUCAUAUCAUGCCAUCUCAUGUUGCAUCUUGGUCAUAUCAAGCAUAGCUUAGUGCUUGCCAUGUUGCAUUUUGUCAUUCAUGUUGUUGCCAUGAGCAUCAUGGGCAUGACCCUUCUACCCCCCCUUUCAAACCAUUGCACCAUCACUUCCCCUUCGUUCCCUUUUCCUUCCAUUCUUUGCGAGUGCCAUUUUGCCUCCACCAUAAAUGUUCAUCUUUUCCCCAAUAUUCUAACACCAUGUACCUAGCCUCUCUGCCAAAUUAGAGUUCAUUUGAAGUUGUGUUGGUUAGGUUCAAAAAUGCUCCAAGUUUGAACUAUAUUCAAACUUGUUGUAUUUUUCUACCUCUAAAAAAAUACCCAACUCAAUUUUAUCAAAUUGAGAAUAAUUCCAGAAUCCUGAGGAUAUUUUCAUAUCUCUCACAAACCCCCCCAAUCCUUCUGUGCUUUUCGCUCUUUUAUUACUGUUCAAAGGAAUGGGAAAGAGCCAAAGGGAGAGAGAGAGCACCAGCAGCAGCGCAGCCCAGUAGCAAGCAGUCCAUCCGCGGCCCAGCAGCCCUCCCACAGCCCUUUAGCCUGCAAGCGACAGUUGCAUCGUCCUCCUGUACAGCAGGACAUCCAGAGGAGACACGUCGGCACGCCAGAUGAUUUGACGGCCGGAGCUCGUCCCUAGACCCCUAUAAAGUUGUCCCCGGUGCCCUAGGGUCUCCCCUCAACCGAUCCCCCUCCUCUCCUUCCUUCGCCGCCGCCCGGUAAGUCCUCGCUCGUGCCCCAUAGCCGUCGCCCGCAUCAUGGCCGAGGCGAGCUGGAGCUCAUCCCCGGCGUAGGAUCCGCCAGCAGCGCCCCACCUCCCUCCAAACGCUCCGGGUGAUCGUCAUCGUCUUCUUCCUGCUGUGAACCAAGGCAGAAGACACCAAGUCCGGCUACUUCCCCGUCGUCCUCUUCCUCCCCUGCUUCGCGGACAGCAGCCCCGCCAGGUUCAGAGCUUGUCCGCGUCGCCGCAGGCUCGUCUCCGUCAUCGUCUUCUUGUCCUAGGGUAAGGAGGUAUUCCCAACUUCCUCCCUGCUCCUUCCUGUCGUCAAUAGAUCACCGUAGGCGCUGCUUUGAUUCAAUCUUUCCCGUGCUCUCGGUGCUCUGUAGAUCUCUGUAGUUUUAGUUGCGCAUGUUUUGCUGCUGCACGUGCACACGCCGCUUGCGUUCCGCGAGCUCGUGCUCGAGCGUUUGCUCGCGCACCCCUACAACUGCACUCCCUUGCACUUCCCGCAGGCCCGCUGCUGCUCUGCAUCGCAAGCCGUCGCCUUCUCGCUCGUCAACGCAGGCGCCGGUGAUUUCUGUGUUGCCAACACCAAAGGCUCGGCCUUCUGGCCCUGGUUCAAAAGGAGCCAGGCGCCUCUCUGGGUACACACACCUCCCUCUAGCGCACUGGUUAGCCUGCCUCUUUCCUACCUAGGAGACUUGGGUUCGAGUCCGAGGUUCCACGUUUUUUUAGUGGUGGCUUUUAUUUUCACUGUGACUAUGACGCCUUGGUCCCAUUGUCAUCCACAUACCCAGCCACGUGGACCACGGCCCUACCAGUCAGUCUAACGGCUCGGUACAGCUUGGGUACACCUAGUUUUCCCCGCAUGACUUCUGUUUUAUUCCAAUUCGGAACAUGCCAGAUUUGGCAUAUGUUGAGGUUUCCAUUUAGGGCAGGUUUUAACUUAUUGCACUCGUGAUGAUUUUUCUACAGCAACCACAACAUAUUAUAUAUGUUUUUGGGGUAGAAAAAUCCCACCAAUCCAGUGGUGACAUUAGUUUCUGCAUUUGAGAAAGUUCAUGAAUAUGUCAUUUUACAUCAUGUUGUUGUUUUGUCUUUCAUGUGUAUAUUUAUGCAAUUAUGCUAUGAGGUAGUUUUGCACAUGAACAUGCUCUUCACCAUGCCUACUUGCUUCUGGAAUUAAGCUCCUGACAUGAUAUGUUUUAUUUUGAGGUAAACAAGCUUGUUAACAUGCCAACAUGAAUCUGUUUUUGCCAUGUCCUGAAACUUCAAUAAGUCUGGAACUGUUAAUAAAAACUUGCUAUGUUCACAUGGGUGCCAUCAUAUUUUCUGAUCCUUUUUGGCUUAUGGUCAGUAAGGGACUUUUGAUCUAUGCUUUGAGUAGAUUCAUGCCAUGCCUUAUUUUGCUAUUAUAAGUUCCUGUAGCAUGUUGAUAACCUGCUCUGAACAUUGCUUCGUGAUGCUGUUUAUGCCAUGUCCAACCUGAUAUUUUUUGCACUUUCACCAUGCUUGUUUGAACCUGUUAUGAUGUGAUUUAGCCGUAGCUCAGUGUUCUUCUUUCGUUAAGCAUCUCCUGUAGAUCACUUCCAUAUAUUUUGUUUUUAUGUUGGAGUAUUAUAGCAUAGUUUCUUGUUGCAUGCUAAGUAGCAUCGUGCUGUUAAUCGCAGCUUUGCGCCAUUCUUAUUUUGCUUGCCAUUUGCAAACCGUGCAUCCGUUUCCGGUGAUCCUUAUAUCGAUUUCAACCGAAAUCAUCUCAUCUUUCCAGCGGCAUACUUGGUUUGCCAAGUUGAUGCCUUGUUCAUCCUUUUUCCUCCCGAAGCACGCAUACGCAUUGCAUAUCACAUCUCGCAUAUCAUGACAUGUAUUGCAUCAUGUUGCUUGUGCGUUGCACUAUGAUUUAUUGUGGUUCCUUUGCUUGUGUUCUUGCUUUGGGUAGAGCCGGGAGACGAGUACGUGCAUGAGGAACCUGUUGAGAACGCUUACGAGGAUCAAGCCUUCGACAACUCUGAGAACCUUGCAGGCAAGAUGACCAUACCUUCGAUAUCACUUCUAUCUUUGCUUGCUAGUACUCGCUCUAUCGCUAUGUUAGCUCUACCUGCCAUUGUUUAUCAUGCCUCCCUAUUGCCCUAUCAAACCUCUAACCAUCCUGUCCUAGCAAACGUUGUUUGGCUAUGUCACCGCUUUUGCUCAGCCCCUCUUAUAGCGUUGCUAGUUGCAGGUGAAGAUGAAGUUCGUUCCUGGUCGGAACAUUGAUAUUUUGGGAUAUCACAAUAUCUCCUGUUUAAUUAAUGCACCUUAUAUACUUGGUAAAGGGUGGAAGGCUCGGCCUUAUGCCUGGUGACUUGUUCCACUCUUGUCGCCCUAGUUUCUGUCAUACCGGUGUUAUGUUCCUUGAUUUUGCGUUCCUUACACGGUUGGGUGAUUUAUGGGACCCUCUUGACAGUUCGCUUUGAAUAAAACUCCUCCAGCAAGGCCCAACUUUGGUUUUACCAUUUGCGACCUAAGCCUUUUUCCCUUGGGUUUUCGCGAGCCCAAGGCUCAUCUUUAUUUACCCCCCCCCCCCCGGGCCAAUGCUCCUCCGAGAGUUGGUCCAAACUAGAGCACCGUGCGGGACCAUUCCUUGGCAACUUGGAUUACGUCAGUACCUGUACGCUUAGCUUAUCCGGUGUGCCCUAAGAACGAGAUAUGUGCAGCUCCUAUCGGGAUUUGUCGGCACAGCGGGUGGUCUUGCUGGUCUUGUUUUACCAUUGUUGAAAUGUUUUGCAAAUCGGGAUUCCGAGGCUGAUCAGGUCUUCCCGGGAGAAGGUAUAUCCUUCGUUGACCGUGAGAGCUUGUGAUGGGCUAAGUUGGGACACCCCUGCAGGGUAUAUAAUCUUUCGAAAGCCGUGCCCACGGUUAUGAGGUAGAUGGGAAUUUGUUAAUGUCCGGUUGUAGAUAACUCGACACUUGACUUCAUUAAAAUGCAUCAACCGCGUGUGUAGCCAUGAUGGUCUCUUCUCGGUGGAGUCCGAGAAGUGAACACAGUUUGUGUUAUGCUUGACGUAAGUAGUUUCAGGAUCACUUCUUGAUCACUUCUAGCUUCUCGACCGAUUCGUUGCUUCUCUUCUCGCUCUCACUUGCGUAUGCUAGCCACCAUAUAUGCUUAGUGCUUGCUGCAGCUCCACCAUAUUACCCCUUACCUACCUAUGAGCUUAAAUAGUCUUGAUCUCGUGGGUGUGAGAUUGCUGAGUCCUCGUGACUCACAGAUUCUACCAAAACAGAUGCAGGUGCCGAUGAUACCAGCGCAGAUGGCGCAACUGAGCUGAAGUGGGAGUUUGAUGAGGCCCUUGGUUGUUACUAUGUAUCGUUUCUAGAUGAUCAGUAGAGGAGCCCAGUCGGGACGAUCGGGGAUCUAGCAUUUGGGGUUGUCUUCUUUUCAUUUGAACUUGACCGUAGCCGGUCUAUGAGUGUAUUUUGAAUGAUGUAUGAUCUUAAAUUAUGUAUUGUGUGAAGUGGCGAUUGUAAGCCAACUCUCUUUAUCCCAUUCUUGUUCAUUACAUGGGAUUGUGUGAAGAUGACCCUUCUUGCGACAAAACCACUAUGCGGUUAUGCCUCUAAGUCGUGCUUCGACACGUGGGCGAUAUAGCCGCAUCGUGGGUGUUACAACGAGCUAGUCAACUAGAGGCUCACUAGGGACAUAUUGUGGUCUAUGUAUUCACACGUGUAUUAUGAUUUCCGGAUAAUACAAUUAUAGCAUGAAUAAAAGACAAUUAUCAUGAAAAGGAAAUAUAAUAAUAAUCCUUUUAUUAUUGCCUCUAGGGCAUAUUUCCAACAGUCUCCCACUUGCACUCGAGUCAAUAAUCUAGUUACAUUGUGAUGAAUCGAACACCCAUAGAGUUCUGGUGUUGAUCAUGUUUUGCUCGCGGAAGAGGUUUAGUCAACGGAUCUGCGACAUUCAGAUCCGUAUGUACUUUGCAAAUAUCUAUGUCUCCAUCUUGAACAUUUUCACGGAUGGAGUUGAAACGACGCUUGAUGUGCCUGGUCUUCUUGUGAAACCUGGGCUCCUUGGCAAGGGCAAUAGCUCCAGUGUUGUCACAGAAGAGUUUGAUCGGCCCCGACGCAUUGGGUAUGACUCCUAGGUCGGUGAUGAACUCCUUCACCCAAAUUGCUUCAUGCGCUGCCUCCGAGGCUGCCAUGUACUCCGCUUCACAUGUAGAUCCCGCCACGACGCUCUGCUUGCAACUGCACCAGCUUACUGCUCCACGAUUCAACGUAUACACGUAUCCGGUUUGUGACUUAGAGUCAUCCAGAUUUGUGUAGAAGCUAGCGCCGACGUAAACCUUUACGACGAGCUCUUCGUCACCUCCAUAGACGAGAAACAUGUCCUUUGUCCUUUUCAGGUACUUAAGGAUAUUCUUGACCGCUGUCCAGUGUUCCUUGCCGGGAUUACUUUGGUACCUUCCUACCAAACUUACGGCAAGGUUUACAUCAGGUCUGGUACACAGCAUGGCAUACAUAAUAGAUCCUAUGGCUGAGGCAUAGGGGAUGACACUCAUCUCUUCUUUAUCUUUUGCCGUGGUCGGGCAUUGAGCCGAGCUCAAUCUCACACCUUGCAAUACAGGCAAGAACCCUUUCUUGGACUGAUCCAUUUUGAACUUCUUCAAUAUCUUAUCAAGGUAUGUGCUUUCUGAAAGACCUAUGAGGCGUCUCGAUCUAUCCCUAUAGAUCAUGAUGCCUAAUAUGUAAGCAGCUUCUCCAAGGUCCUUCAUUGAAAAACACUUAUUCAAGUAGGCCUUAAUGUUGUCCAAAAGUUCUAUAUCAUUUCCCAUCAAAAGUAUGUCAUCUACAUAUCAUAUGAGAAAUGCUACAGAGCUCCCACUCACUUUCUUGUAAACGCAGGCUUCUCCAUAAGUUUGCAUAAACCCAAACGCUUUGGUCAUCUCAUCAAAGUGAAUGUUCCAACUCCGAGAUGCUUGCACCAGCCCAUAAAUGGAUCGCUGGAGCUUGCAUACCUUGUUAGCAUUCUUAGGAUCGAAAAAACCUUCCGGUUGCAUCAUAUACAGUUCUUCCUUAAGAUAGCCGUUAAGCAAUGCCGUUUUGACGUCCAUCUGCCAUAUCUCAUAAUCAUAGUAUGCAACAAUUGCUAACAUGAUUCAGACGGACUUCAGCUUCGCUACGGGAGAGAAAGUCUCAUCGUAGUCAACCCCUUGAACUUGCCGAUAACGCGACAAGUCGAGCUUUAUAGAUGGUAAUAUUACCAUCCGUGUCUGUCUUCUUCUUAAAGAUCCAUUUGUUUUCUAUCACUCGUCGAUCAUCGGGCAAGUCUGUCAAAGUCCAUACUUUGUUUUCAUACAUGCAUUCUAUCUCAGAUUGCAUGGCUUCAAGCCAUUUGUUGGAAUCUGGGCCCGCCAUCGCUUCUUCAUAGUUCGAAGGUUCACCGUUGUCUAACAACAUGAUUUCCAGGACAGGGUUGCCAUACCACUCUGGUGUGGAACGUGUCCUUGUGGACCUACGAAGUUCAGUAGCAACUUGAUCCAAAGUACCUUAAUCAUCAUCAUUAAUUUCCUCUCCAGUCGGUGUAGGCACCACAGGAACAUUUUCCUGAGCUGCACUACUUUCUGGUUCAAGAGGUAGUACUUCAUCGAGUUCUACUUUCCUCCCACUUACUCCUUUCGAGAGAAACUCCUUUUCCAGAAAGGAUCUGUUCUUGGCAACAAAGAUCUUCCCUUCGGAUCUAAGGUAGAAGGUAUACCCAAUGGUUUCCUUAGGGUAUCCUAUGAAGACGCAUUUUUCUGACUUGGGUUCGAGCUUUUCAGGUUGAAGUUUCUUGACAUAAGCAUCGCAUCCCCAAACUUUUAGAAACGACAGCUUAGGUUUCUUCCCAAACCAUAAUUCAUAUGGUGUUGUCUCAACAGAUUUAGACGGUGCCCUAUUUAAAGUGAAUGUAGCUGUCUCUAGAGCGUAUCCCCAAAAUGAUAGCGGUAAAUCGGUAAGAGACAUCAUAGAUCGCACCAUAUCCAAUAGAGUGCGAUUACGACGUUCGGACACACCGUUACGCUGAGGUGUUCCAGGCGGCGUGAGUUGUGAAACGAUUCCACAUUUUCUUAAGUGCGUACCAAAUUCAUGACUUAAGUAUUCUCCUCCACGAUCUGAUCAUAAGAACUUUAUUUUUCGGUCACGUUGAUUCUCUACUUCAUUCUGAAAUUCCUUGAACUUUUCAAAGGUCUCAGACUUGUGUUUCAUCAAGUAGACAUACCCAUAUCUACUUAAGUCAUCAGUGAGAGUGAGAACAUAACGAUAUCCUCCGCGAACCUCAACGCUCAUUGGACUACACACAUCAGUAUGUAUGAUUUCCAAUAAGUUGGUUGCUCGUUCCAUUGUUCCGGAGAACGGAGUCUUGGUCAUUUUGCCCAUGAGGCAUGGUUCGCAUGUGUCAAAUCAUUCAUAAUCGAGAGACUCUAAAAGUCCAUCAGCAUGGAGCUUCUUCAUGCGCUUGACACCAAUGUGACCAAGGCAGCAGUGCCACAAGUAUGUCGGACUAUCGUUAUCAACUCUACAUCUUUUGGUAUUCACGCUAUGAAUAUGUGUAACAUUACGUUCGAGAUUCAUUAAGAAUAAACCAUUGACCAUCGGGGCAUGACCAUAAAACAUAUCUCUCAUAUAAAUAGAACAACCAUUAUUAUCGGAUUUAAAUGAGUAGCCAUCUCGCAUUAAAUGAGAUCCAGAUACAAUGUUCAUGCUCAAACUUGGCACUAAAUAACAAUUAUUGAGGUUUAAAACUAAUCCCGUAGGUAAAUGUAGAGGUAGUGUGCAGACGGCAAUCAUAUCGACCUUGGAACCAUUCCUGACGCGCAUCGUCACCUUGUCCUUUGCCAGUCUCCACUUAUUCUGCAGCUCCUGGUGUGAGUUACAAAUAUGAGCAACGACACCGGUACCAAAUACCCAGGAGUUACUACGAGUACAGGUAAGGUACACAUCAAUUACAUGUAUAUCACAUAUACCUUUAGUGGUGCCGGCCUUCUUGUCCGCUAAGUAUUUGGGGCAGUUCCGUUUCCAGUGACCCUUCCCUUUGCAAUAAAAGCACUCAGUCUCAGACUUGGGUCCAUUCUUUGACUUCUUCCCGGCAAAUGGCUUACCAGGUGCGGCAACCUCUUUGCCAUCCUUCUUGAAGUUCUUCUUACCCUUGCCCUUUUUGAACUAGGUGGUUUUAUUGACCAUCAACACUUGAUGUUCUUUCUUGAUUUCUACCUCUGCUGACUUCAGCAUUGAAAAUACUUCAGGAAUAGUUUUCUCCAUCCCCUGCAUAUUGUAGUUCAUCACAAAGCUCUUGUAGCUCGGUGGGAGCGACUGAAGGAUUCUAUCAAUGACCGCCUCAUCCAGGAGGUUAAUGUCCAGCUGGGACAGACGGUUGUGGAACCCAGACAUUUUGAGUAUGUGCUCACUGAUAGAACUAUUUUUCCUCCAUCUUACAACUAUAGAACUUGUCAGAGACUUCAUAUCUCUCGACCCGGGCGUGAGCUUGGAAAACCAUUUUCAGCUCCUCGAACAUCUCAUAUGCUCCGUGUUGCUCAAAACGCUUUUGGAUCCCCGGUUCUAACCUGUAAAGCAUGCCGCACUGAACGAGGGAGUAAUCAUCAGCACGUGACUGCCAAGCGUUCAUAACAUCUUGGUUCUCUGGGAUGGGUGCUUCACCUAGCGGUCCUUCUAGGACAUAUGCUUUCUUGGCAGCUAUGAGGAUGAUCCUCAGGUUCCGGACCCAGUCCGUAUAGUUGCUGCCAUCAUCUUUCAGCUUGGUUUUCUCUAGGAACGCGUUGAAGUUCAUGUUGACAUGAGCGUUGGCCAUUUGAUCUACAAGACAUAUUUUGCAAAGAUUUUAGACUAAGUUCAUGAUAAUUAAGUUCAUCUAAUCAAAUUAUUUAAUGAACUCCCACUCAGAUUUGACAUCCCUCUAGUCAUCUAAGUGCUACAUGAUCCGAGUCGACUAGGCCGUGUCCGAUCAUCACGUGAGACAGACUAGUCAUCAUCGGUGAACAUCUCCAUGUUGAUCGUAUCCUCCAUACGACUCAUGUUCGACCUUUCGGUCUCUGUGUUCCGAGGCCAUGUCUAUACAUGCUAGGAUCGUCAAGUUAACCUAAGUGUUUUGCAUGUGUAAAACUGUCUUACACCUGUUGUAUGUGAACGUGGGAAUCUAUCACACCCGAUCAUCAUGUGGUGCUUCGAAACGACGAACUUUAGCAACGGCGCACAGUUAGGGAGAACACUUUCUUGAAAUUGUUAUAAGGGAUCAUCUUAUUUACUACCAUCGUUCUAAGUAAACAAAAUGCAUAAACAUAAUAAACAUCACAUGCAAUUAUAUAGUAGUGACAUGAUAUGGCCAAUAUCAUAUAGCUCCUUUGAUCUCCAUCUUCGGGGCUCCAUGAUCAUCUUCGUCACCGGCAUGACACCAUGAUCUCCAUCAUCAUGAUCUCCAUCAUCGUGUCUCCAUGAAGUUGCUCACCAACUAUUACUUCUACUACUAUGGAUAACAGUUUAGCAAUAAAGUAAAGUAAUUACAUGGUGUUAAAUCAUUGACACGCAGGUCAUACAAUAAUUAAGACAAAUCCUAUGGCUCCUGCCGGUUGUCAUACUCAUCGACAUGCAAGUUGUGAUUCCUAUUACAAGAACAUGAUCUCAUACAUCACAAUAUAUCAUUCAUCAUUCAUCACAACUUUUGGCCAUAUCACAUCACAAAGCAAUUGCUGCAAAAACAAGUUAGACGUCCUCUAAUUGUUGUUGCAUCUUUUACGUGGCUGCAGUAGGGUUCUAGCAAGAACGUUUUCUUACCUACGAUAAAGCCACAACGUGAUUUGUCAACUUCUAUUUACCCUUCAUAAGGACCCUUUUCAUCGAAUCCACUCCAACUAAAGUGGGAGAGACAGACACCCGCUAGCCACCUUAUGCAACUAGUGCAUGUCAGUCGGUGGAACUUGUCUCACGUAAGCGUACGUGUAAGGUCGGUUCGGGCCGCUUCAUCCCACAAUACUGCUGAAGCAAAGUAGGACUAGUAGUGGCAAGAAAGUUGACAACAUCUGCGCCCACAAUAGAUUUGUGUUCUACUCGUGCAAUAGAGAACUACGCAUAGACCUGGCUCAUGAUGCCACUGUUGGGGAACGUUGCAUAAAAUAAAAAAUUUCCUACGUUCACCAAGAUCAAUCUAUGAGUUCAUCUAGCAACGAGAGAGAGGAGUACAUCUACAUACCCUUGUAUAUCGCGAGCGGAAGCGUUCCAGAGAACGGGGUUGAGGGAGUCGUACUCGUCGUGAUCCAAAUCAUCGGAGAUCCUAGCGCCGAACGGACGGCACCUCCGCGUUCAACACACGUACGGUCAGCGUGACGUCUCCUCCUUCUUGAUCCAGCAAGGGGGGAGGAGAGGUUGAUGAAGAUCCAGCAGCACGACGGCGUGGUGGUGGAUGCAGCAGGGUUCCGGCAGGGCUUCGCCAAGCGACUAUGGGAGGAGGAGGUGUAGCAAGGGGGCGGGAGGCGCCAGAUGUCAGGGUGCGGUUGCCCUCCCCCCCUCUUUAUAUAGGGACCCCAGGGGGGGCGCCGGCCCUGGAGAUGGGAUCUCCCAAGGGGGGCGGCGGCCAGGGGGGUGGAGUGCCCCCCAAGGCAAGUGGAGGCGCCCCCUCCCCUAGGANNNNNNNNNNNNNNNNNNNNNNNNNNNNNNNNNNNNNNNNNNNNNNNNNNNNNNNNNNNNNNNNNNNNNNNNNNNNNNNNNNNNNNNNNNNNNNNNNNNNNNNNNNNNNNNNNNNNNNNNNNNNNNNNNNNNNNNNNNNNNNNNNNNNNNNNNNNNNNNNNNNNNNNNNNNNNNNNNNNNNNNNNNNNNNNNNNNNNNNNNNNNNNNNNNNNNNNNNNNNNNNNNNNNNNNNNNNNNNNNNNNNNNNNNNNNNNNNNNNNNNNNNNNNNNNNNNNNNNNNNNNNNNNNNNNNNNNNNNNNNNGGCUGGUUCCCCUCCCACUUCAGCCCAUGGGGCCCUUCGGGAUGGGUGGCCCCACCCGGUGGACCCCCGGGACCCUUCCGGUGGUCCCGGUACAAUACCGGUGACCCCCGAAACUUUCCCGAUUGCCGAAACUCCACUUCCCAUAUACAAUUAUUUACCUCCGGACCAUUCCGGAACUCCUCGUGACGUCCGGGAUCUCAUCCGGGACUCCGAACAACUUUUGGUUCGUUGCAUACUCAUAUUCAUACAACCCUAGCGUCACCAAACCUUAAGUGUGUAAACCCUACGGGUUCGGGAGACAUGUAGACAUGACCGAGACGGCUCUCCGGCCAAUAACCAAUAGCGGGAUCUGGAUACCCAUGUUGGCUCCCACAUGCUCCUCAAUGAUCUCAUCGGAUGAACCACGAUGUCGAGGAUUUAAGCAACCCCGUAUACAAUUCCCUUUGUCAAUUGGUACGUUACUUGCCCGAGAUUCGAUCAUCGGUAUCCCAAUACCUCGUUCAAUCUCGUUACCGGCAAGUCACUUUACUCGUACCGUAAUGCAUGAUCCCGUGACCAGACACUUGGUCACUUUGAGCUCAUUAUGAUGAUGCAUUACCGAGUGGGCCCAGAGAUACCUCUCCGUCAUACGGAGUGAAAAAUCCCAGUCUUGAUCCGUGUCAACCCAACAGAAACUUUCGGAGAUACCUGUAGUUCAUCUUUAUAGUCACCCAGUUACGUUGUGACGUUUGGUACACCCAAAGCACUCCUACGGUAUCCGGGAGUUACACGAUCUCAUGGUCUAAGGAAGAGAUACUUGACAUUGGAAAAGCUCUAGCAAAACGAACUACACGAUCUUGUGAUAUGCUUAGGAUUGGGUCUUGUCCAUCAUAUCAUUCUCCUAAUGAUGUGAUCCCGUUAUCAAUGACAUCCAAUGUCCAUAGUCAGGAAACCAUGACUAUCUAUUGAUCAACGAGCUAGUCAACUAGAGGCUCACUAGGGACAUAUUGUGGUCUAUGUAUUCACACGUGUAUUAUGAUUUCCGGAUAAUACAAUUAUAGCAUGAAUAAAAGACAAUUAUCAUGAACAAGGAAAUAUAAUAAUAAUCCUUUUAUUAUUGCCUCUAGGGCAUAUUUCCAACAGAGGAGGACUCCUCCUCCCCUCCCUUGGUGGUAGCCCUCUCCCUCCCCUCAAACCUAUAUAUACUCGGGGUUUUUGCUCUUUGGAACACACAAGUUAUAGAGCCUCCUCUAGUCCAUCUAGCACUAGUUCUAGUUGGUCCUAGUUGACUAAUUAGAGCUUGGUCUAUUUCCUCUAAUACUCAUAAUUAAAGUCCAACAUGGUUCUAAUCUCCUCCCUCUAAUUCUCUGGCGAAGAUUAGUUCUGGACGGCGAAGCGCUGCCGGAUCGUGAAGGCUACACGCUUACAACCAUGUAGAGGGGUUGUUCUUCCGGUCUUUGGUUCGAGGGGUUGUUUGUGGGUGGUUCACGGGAUCGUUCAUCGAUGAUUUGAGGGACUCUAAGUACAAUCUACAUCGACAUAUUCUUCUUCCGCUGCAACUCGGUGACGCUAACGAUUGUGAUCUCAACCCGUGAUGCAUCUUCUAUUAAUCUUGGGUGUGCGUAGGCGCGAUUUUUUUGUUUUCUACUAUGUUUCCCAACAGACCUUUUUAUAUAUAUCCGCACCCAGGGAGCAACUAGCCGACAGUUACCCCUUUGGGGGAAACUGCAACGGUCAUUUUUUGACACCUGGAGCGUGCCAAGUGGUGCGCUCAAACGUCGCGAUGUGUUGCUCUAGGCACACCCUUAACGUUCCAUUUUUUUCUGCACAUGUUUUUUUGUGUUUUUUUUUGUCUUUCCGUUUGUGAUUGGUUCUCCCUAGGUUUUGGUGGAAAAAACUGUUUGAUUCAAAACAAAUCGGGAUCAGUGCUUUUCUAUGUGCGAGAAACACAAUUGUGCUUCCUGAAAAAGAGAAGCACAAUUGUGCUUUCUUGCAAAAGGCGAAAGCACAAUGUGGGCUUUCGUGAGAGGCACAACUGUGCUUCCCAAAAAGGUAAAAACACAAUUAUGCUUUCUAAAAAAAGCAAAAAAGAAUAACCUUGCUUUCAAGAUUUUUUUUACCCAUUUUUUCAAUCUUUCUUUCGGUCGUAUUCUGUCGGCUUUUUUUUUCAAUUUUCAAGUUCAUUCGAUUCUCGACUUUUCAUGAAAAAAAGUUCAUUAAAACUAUUUAUAUGAGAUCUAGUUUCGAAGAUCUUGACGCAAGAAAUCCAACAUCAAAAAUAGUUCAUGAUUUAGAUGUUGGGUUUAAGAGAUAAAACUUGUUAAAAAUCUAUAAAAAGAAGAGAAAACUCGCUGACUGCAACAAGUGGCACACAUGGAAUGUGUCUUUUCUCAACAAUAAAGGUGGAAAAUAAACUUUGCAAGGGCAACCCUUAACUAGUGAUUUCGCCACGCCCAGCGAGAUCUUUCCUAUGCUCGCGUAAAGAUGCACUAGUGGGCCGGUCCAGUAACAAAAGGAACAUAGCUUCUCAUUUGUUUCUUUCAAUUUGUUGUUCGUUCUUCCAUAUUUUUUAUUUUAUUCAUUGUUUGUAUUUUUGAAAAAUAUCAUAAAAUAAAUAUAUUUCGAAAGUUAAACUUAAAAAUUAUAAAGUUGUGAAUUUAAAAAUGUUAAUGCCUUAUAAAAAUUGUAAUAUUAAUUUAGAAAAUUGUUAAUAGCAUUAUAAAAAAUGGGCAUUUCAUCUUAGAAAUGGAAAUCAUAUUUAUAAAUGUGUCGGAUGUAUAAGAAAAAUGUACAAUGUGAAUAAAAAUAAGUAGACAUCAAAACAUAUAUUUCAAUAAAUGUUAGUCAUCUAAAUUAAAAAAAUCUGUACAAAAACAUGUUUCCGAAGUAUACCAAAAAUGUACAAUGUGUAUAAAAACAAUAGACAUCAAUACAUAUAUUUCAAAAAAUAAUCAGGUAUUUGAAAAUUUAUAAAUGUGUACUAAAAAUAAUUUAGGUUUAUACAAAAUUGUACAACAUGUACGAAAACAUAGAUAUCAAGACAUAUAUUUGAAAAAAAUUAUCAUAUAUAUUUGAAAAAUUAAACAUAUAUAAAAAAUAGUUUAGCUGUUUACCAAAAAUGUACAAUCUGCAUGAAAGCAUAGACAUCAAAACAUAUGUUUGAAAAAAAAAUCUUGUAUUUAAAAAUGUAAACAAGUAUUUUUUUAGAUAUGUACGAAAAUGUACAAUGUGUACGGGGAAAAGUAGAUUUAAAAAUAUAUGUUUUCAAAAAUAGUUACAAUGUAUAUUCAAAAUGUUAAAAAUGUAUAUAAAAUAUGUUUCUAAUGUUUAUGAAAAUGUUUAAUGUGUACUGAAAAAAGGUUGCAUGUUUUGCGCAACAAAGAUACCGAUGAAAAUUGACAAAGACACAAAGAAAAACAACAAAAACUAAUAAAAACCAAAAAAUGGAAAAUAAAAUAAACGAAAAUUGAAGAAACCAAUGCAAAAGAAUGAAACAAUGAAUCCUGAGGAGGAAGCAAAGAAACCCAAGAAAAUAAGUAAAGACAAAUGAAGAAAGAAAGAAAAGCAAUUAAAAAAAUGUGAACCCGAGAAAGAACAUAGAAAAUGACUGAAAAAGGAAAUAAAGAAUAAAAAAACAAAAACAUGCAAGCAAUGAAGAAAAUAGGCGGAAAACAUAAAAUCAUUAAAAACCGGUGAAGAAACCACAGAAAAUAGAAAAACAAAAAGGUCCAAACCAGUAUAUCAACGGACAUAGCAGGCGGGCUAAGCUAAUGGGCCGGCCCUAUAUUCGUGCGCUUCAAAUUUGAGGAAAGCUAUACUCGCUAUAAGCGAGAUACACCUAUUAUCGCACAUUCCAUUGACUUUCCCCUAGAAUCAUAACCCAUACCCUAAUCACUAAAUGGGCCGGCCCAUUGCGGCUGCUGGCACUAUGGUUUUUUGUUUUUGUCCACUAUUUGUCUUCUGAAUUUCUUUUUAAGUUUUUAUAUUUUUUUAUCUAUAUUUUUCAUUUUUCCUUUGAAUCUAGAAUUUUAUUUUCUUUUCUUAUUUUUCUCAUUUCCUUUUCUCUAAUGUACGGACAUUUUUCAAAAUCUACUAGCACACAUGACCGUCCAUUGCGUUGGAAGAAAAAAUCCCAUGCGCCCCUAGCUCAAUAAGUAUGGUUCAAGGCCCUUCUUCCAACAUGUCCACGUCCUUUUUUUAACAUAGCGUCACACUCGUGUUGUCGCUUAUCCUCAUUCAAGUCCCUGCCGACGGUGACACGGUAUACAUACGAUCACAUCACAUCUGAACAUGGUUAAUCUCAAGGUGAUGAGCUCGGUCACCGCACGACACAACUGUCAUUAAACCGUGCCAGCAAGGGAAUCUUCAAAAACUUUAAAAACUAAUCUUGUCCAUCUAAUCUUGUCGAGAUGGACGUGAGUGCCAUCCUCCACGAGCUACUCCCUACACCAAGUGCAUCAGCACGACUACCUAUUUUGUACACGUAUUAGAGUAUGCAAUGAAUUCAACUAUCUUGAAAGACAUUCUAAGCUAAUACGACAUGGGGCAGUUCAAGCAGUUUUUAAGAAUAAAAAAUGAUCAAAAAAUAGGCAAAACCUGAAAUGGCGGAGGUGGGGUGGGAGAGUGGUUGCCAAGGAAAGAAAGAAACAUAAAUGUAAUCUUAUAACAAUAAAAUGAGAGAUAAAUCAUGAUGAUUUCAUAUAAAUAUUUAUGCCCUGUCAGAUGCACGCAUAAUACUUCCCCCAAUGUUCUCUCUUGCACAACAUAAUUCUUAUGGGCCAAAAGUACGGUGACGGUGCAAGGCGGAACGAGAGGAAGAAAAGAAAGUAAAGGCAUGUCUCAUCUUAUUACUCAUUGCCUAGCGGACGUGAUCUUUAUGACUACAAAUAAAUUCUAUCGCGGUGUAAUACAAAACAAUUGUCUUGGUAUUGUGCUUAGUCUGUAUGCUAAAUUUUCAACGCAAAUGGCGAGGUAAUGAAUCUUUCGUUUACUAAGAAUAAUGAAUAUGGACGCCAAAACCUCGUUUUUCUUCUAUAUUUUGAUGAACUUCUAGCACAUGGAAGUCACUUCCUUUUGCGCAUAUUACGCUGGACCUCUACAUAUAGACAAGAAUGAUUGUUUUGGUGUCGUGUCUAGCGCAUGAAACAAACUAUCAGUUCUUCUCGGGUUCGAGUCCAGCUUUCACAUUUAUUUAUUUUACCACGUCAAACAAUCCUUUUUUUCAAGCAAACAAGGCAUUUCCUAUUUGGCGCCACAGGCACCAGUUAACGUGCAUAUUUCGUUAACUGGCGCAUGUGGCGUCCCUAAAUGGGCCAGCCCAUCUAGGCGCCGGCUGACAUUUUCUUUUUUGAAAGUUCUGCGAACUUUUUUAAAUAUCUAUGAACUUUUUUAAAAAUUUCAACAGUUUUUUUCCAGAUUGAUGAACCUUUUUGAAUAUCGAUGAAUUUUUUUGAAAUUUGAUGAAUAUCUUUUUGAAAAAAUGGAUAAACUUUUUUAGUUUAUGAACUUUUUUAAGUUCAAUGAACUUUUUCUAAAAAUACAUGAACUUGUUUUGAAAUUUUAUGAACUUUUUCAUAUUUAAUGAACUUUUUCAUAUUUAAUGAACUUUUUAAAAAAAAUAAAGAACUUUUUAUAAAUUGGAUGAACUUUUUUCAAUUUGAAUAAACUUUUUUCAAAUUGAUGAACUUUUUUCAAAAUUGUUGAACCUUUUUUAAAGAUAUGUACUUUUUUUAAAUGGAUGAACCUUUUUUUCUUUAAAUCUGUAAACCUUUUUUAUUUCAUAUUUUUAUUUUCAUAACAAAAAACUAAAAAUAAAAUCUGGGGCAGCACGCUAGUGGGCCGACUCAUGCUAACAGCGCUGCAGGUGCCGGAUCGUUAACAGGCGCCUGCAGUGCUGCACAGGAGCUCCCUUCAAACAAUCAGUUGGUCUCAAGUUCACUGCUUGAGGCCCAUGUCCUUGAUGGCCCAUGCGGAUGAGUAAUUGCGCUGCUGGAGGCCCAGUCAGUGCUACGAGACGCGUGAGCAACGACUAAUAAAUGCAUUUUUUCUCAAAAAAAAGACUAAUAAAUGCAUGGUUUCUUAAAAGAAACUAAUAAACGUAUGGAGAACUAUGGAAUUUUCCUCCCUUGAUGAACUAUAUCAAAUCUUCUUUCCUUUAUUAUUAGGUAUAGAUAUAAAAUCUUUCUAAUUGGACCACAACAUCUUUUUCCUAUAUACGUGAACAUUUGCAAGUCUUUAUUUCUAGAACUCAUGCCGUAUAUUAAGUACGAGAUGUUAUGUACUCCCUCCGUUCCUUGAUAUAAGGUGUAUAGAUUUUUGAGAAAAAGUCUGAAAUAUAAGGUGUAUUGCGUUGCACCACUCGUUUGGAUAACUUUUUUAGGGAUUCGAUUACAUUUCCUUAUAUUAGGCAAGCUCCUCUAUAUUCUCAUGUCAAUUAGUCAGGUGUAAUCUCGCCCAAAAUUUGUGAAAGUUUCCCUCCACAUGCAUUCUUUAAUUUCCGUGCCAAAAACUAUACACCUUAUAUAUAGGAAUGGAGGGAGUAUCUCAUUAGAAAAUAGUUUUGUGUGGCUACCCUUUUUUAGAAUUGCUAGGACUUGUGAUCACCCGGUAGGAAGGUGGCCGAGGCAGCCACAGGUCUCGCCAUAUUCUGACGUUUUCCCCAUUGCCAAUUCGCCAAAUCAGACCCUUCUUGAGAAGGCCUAGACCAUGAUGGAUUGCAUGCCAUGUAGAGGACACGUUGCCUGCAAAAAUGGUAUUCACUAGAGAGCUGUUAAGGUAAUAUUUAGCUUUGAGCACUCUCGCACAAAGUGACUCCGGCUUUGUAAGUAGGCGCAAGCUUGUCUUGCAAGCAAUGCUUGGUUGAACAGGCGGAAAUCUCUAAAUCUCGACCCUCCUCUGCUCUUUGGUUCUGUUAUAUUGUCCCAUGCGACCCACUGAGCUUUCCUUUUGCCUUUCCUUUUCCCCACCAGAAGUUUCUGACCAAACUCGUAAGAUCAUCACAAGCUAAAUAUGGUAGCUUAAAAACACCCAUUAUGUAAGUUGGAAGGGCCUGACCAACUGAUUUAUCAUUGUCUCCUUGCCCGCCAUUGAUAGGGUGUCACCCCAAAGCAUGAUUCUCUUUCGCCGUCGCUCUUGCAAGUUCUGAACCCUUCCCUUACGCAUACAUCCAUCCGGUGUAGGGAGACCCAAGUAUUUCUCUUCAAAACUUUCAUCUUGGAUUCCAAAACAUCACGUACCUCCUGUUUGUCCACAUCUGCACAACACUCACCAAACCGAAUUGAGCACUUUUGUGGAUUAAUGAGUUGGCCAGUAGAGCUAGCAUAUGUGGCUAUGAUUUCCUUGAUAUGAACAGCUUGGUCAUGGUUACCUUUGAAAAAUAAAAGUGUGUCAUUCACAAAUAAAAGGUGAGAUAUACCCGGCGCAUUGGUGCACACUUUCACCGGGUCGAUCACAUGCAUCUCCAUACCCUGUUUGAGAAGCGCAGAGAGACCGUCAGCCACAAGCAGAAACAAGAACGGGGAUAAAAGGCCACCUUGCCGAAGCCCACGCGGCAGUACAAAUGAAUCCAAUAUAGCUCAAUGGACUUUAACUGAAUAUCUCACCAUGGUAACACAAGUCAUGAGCCCCACUGGUGAGCGAAGCCCAUCUUUUGCAUCGCUUGUCGUAGGAAACCCCAAUCAACUCUAUCAUAGGCCUUAGACAGGUCUAAUUUAUAAGCACAAAAAUUCCUUUCCUAAUUCUUCUCAUGCUGCAUGUAAUGGAGAUACUCGAAGGCCAAUAAUGCAUUAUCUGUGAUUAACCUUCCAGGCACAAACGCACUCUGCUCUGGUGAAAUAAUAUCGUCCAAAAUAGGUAUCAAUCUGUUAAUCAAGCACUUGGCAACAAUCUUAUAGAUGACAUUGCAUAAAAUAAUUGGCCGAAAAUGAGUAAGUCGGACUGGAUCUCUAACUUUAGGUAUUAAAACAAUUACCGUAUCAUUGACACCGGGAGGCAUAUGUCCAGAUAGAAAAAUUCUUGUACCGGCUUCACAAUUUCCUCCUUCAACACUGCCCAGGUGGCUGGAAAAAAUGGGCUGGAAAACCAUCUUUACCAUGUGCCUUUAAUGGCCCAAUCUGAAAAAGACCGUCUGAAAUCUCCUUUUCCGUAAAAGGCGCACACAACCUUUCAUUCAUUGGUGUGGUUACUCUUGGCUCAAAAAGAUUUAAGACCGGUGAAGGAUCAAGUUGUUCAUCUUUAGUGAAAAGGUUUUGGAAAUACGUACCAUCUUCCCCAUGAUUGUAUGGUCAGUAUGGCUGUUACCUGCAUCAUCUACCAGUCGCCACACCUUAUUUUUCCGAGCUCUCCACGCGGCCUUCUGAUGGAGAAAAAUUGGUGUUCUGAUCACCAUCACAAAGCCAAACGAUGCAAGAGCGUUGCAGCCACAUGAUCUCUUCCCUGUACAUUAUCUCACUCAUAUGAUCCUCAACCUUACCUAUUUCCCUUCUAUUAGCAUUCAUCGCCAUGAGUUCCUCGAGGCGCGUUCGAGAUUUUUCUAGCUCUCUAGUGACGCUGCCAAAAGCUUUCUUACUCCAUAUCUGUAGCUCGUCCAUAAGGGAGGAGACUCCACAAUGGACACCACCAAGGUCAUGCUUAACACUGGCAUUUGUCCAUGCUUGUUGGACUCUCUCUGGUAAACUUGAGUCACGUUCCCACAUCACCUCAUACUGUUUCUAUCGGGGUUGUUGUGUCUGCUUUUCUUUCUCGCAUAGCAGAACAAUAAGACAAUGAUCCGAGCAAGGAAUCACUUGGUGCACAACUCGAGCCUCUGAAAAUAUAUCCCUCCAGCUGUUAUCUGCCACAACUCGGUUCAGCCAUACCUUUACAUUUCGGUUACCAUGUCAUUUAUUAUCAUAUGUAUAAGCCAAGCCAGAGAAGCCCAAGUCAAUAGCUCGCACACCUCUACUUCAUCUGAGCUUCACUUCUCCUUGUAGCAGACAAAUGCUCAAAAGACCACAUAGCCUCAUUAAAAUCUCCUACAACACACCAUGGCAAGUCAGACUAAGCUUUAAGAUCUUGCAACGCAAUCCACAAGGGAUGACGGUUCUCUAUCCGGGGUUCUCCAUAAACACAAGUUAAAUGCCAUAAAGGAGCAUCAUCAGACAAACGAAUAUAAGCAUUAAUAUAUCUCUCCUUUAUUUCUUUAAUCUCAACAUGAGUCUGAUCACACCAAAACAGUGCCAAACCACCACUAAGACCAUUACUAUCACAACUAGCAAAACCUCCUAAACCUAGUAUACCACAAAGACGAUGAACUUUAUUCGCUUUCUAACACGUUUCACACAAGAACACCAACUUGGCAUUGACCGAUUCUACCAAGCUAACCAAAUCAUGAACUGUUGGGUCAUUGGCCACCAUCCCCUCCCCUUCGACAGUUCCAAGCUAAGCAAUUCAUGCUCCUGACGGGGCACAUCAUGUGUCCCCGUCAGUUUACCAGCGGCCCCUGGGCAGGCUGCCUCCGUUUGCAUGUCUCCUCCCAUGUCGGCGUCUUGCGUCAAACUCUCUGUACUAUCGAGCUUCUGUUUCUUUGGUGUCCCUAUACCUUGCUGCACCUCCUGCUCAGUCUGCCUGACAAAUGGAACAAGAGCUAAGCUUUCAUCAAUCCUUGUACCACCAAAGGUCUGCUGUGCACCUGCUACUCUCUUUCCCAGCAUAGAUUUUCCCUCCUCUAACUCCUCCAUGUUGGCGUCGUUAGCAUCUUUCUCCAGCGUCCUGAACAUGGGAAGCAUAUCAGAACUCUUCAAAUCAGCCAGGCAGCGGCCCUCGGGGUCCUUGGUGAAACUGGGGUGAUCACAAACCGCGCCAAUUGUCUCCUCGGAGAGUGGCACAGCUGAUCGACGCCCAGGGUCGCUGGGACCAGGGGCUGCUCCGCACUCACUUUAUGCCUCUUGAUGUCGAUGAGAUCAACAAGAUAAAGCUAAGCCCACAGUUGUUGGAGGACAUCAUCGCAUGGGUGUCAGACACCCUUGGGAUCUUCGGCGUAAGAAGCGCGUACAAGAUGGCCCUCGACGAGAAAAACCGCACUUCUAUAUAUGCAACGAGCAGGGCACCGGACGGCACCAGAGCCGUCUAGGACACGUUAUGGGGGUGUCCUGCUCCCCCAAAGGUACGCGUACUGGCUUGGCGAGUGGUGAAAAACACACUAGCUACUAUGGCAAUUUUUGCUAGAAGAAGUAUAUCUGAUACUGAUAUUUGCCUUUUGUGUGGUGUGGAACGAGAGGACACGCACCACAUCUUCUGUAGAUACACGCCAUGGAGGAGUCCUGGAGCACGCCAAAGCUGGACACUGUUGCUAAUACAGGACCGGAGUGGUUGUUGCACCUACUGGAACAGUGCAGCUAGCAGGAGCACCUUCCUCUGCUCAUGACGGUAUGGUGAAUAUGGCAUGUACAUAAUGAGAUUACCCACAGUAAGUCGACGCCACCUACUAAAGCAUCUUGGUGAUUCCUCUCGAGCUACAUGGACUCGUUGUUGUGCAUUAAACAACAUCUAAACACAGACAUUGCUAAAGGGAAGAUGGUGGUCAGCUAUGGUCAUGCGAAGAGUAAACAACAAGACCAUAUCUCCCCUGCUGACAACCCAAGGCCCCCGGAGAGAUGGAGCACACAACCGGAGGGAUGGUACAAACUAAACGUCGAUGGUGCCUUUCUGGAAGCGGACAAGACAGGAGCUGCUGGUAUGAUUCUUCGUAAUUCCGAGGGAGAGGUGAUAUUUGCAUCUUGCCGCUAUUUGACAUCAUGUGUGAGCGCGAUGGAGGCAGAACUCGCUGCUUGUCGAGAAGGGAUUUCACUCCCACUUGAGUGGAGCACGCUACCUUUCAUCUUGGAGAUAGACUGCACCAUUGCAUUGAGCAUGCUCAAGGGCAUGGAAGUUGAUAUAUCACCAGCUGCGGCAAUCAUGGAGGAAGCAAAACAUAUGUUGAGCUUGGGACGACCACAUGAAAUAAGACAUGUUAGGAGAUGCUUGAACUGUGUUAGUCAUGCACUUGCGCAAUUAGGGAGUCAGCCUCGUGCAGUAAUUUGGCUGCGCCAUGCCCACUAAUGCAGAACCGGGCUUUACUCCCGGUUCGUAAGGACCUUUAGUCCCGGUUCUGCAACUGGCACUAAAGGGUGGGGACUAAAGGCCCCCCCCCCCCUUUAGUCCCGGUUCAACACGACCCGGGACCAAAGGCCCACCACGUGGCACGAGCCCGCGCCAGGGGCUGGGGGAUCUUUAGUCCUGGUUGGUAACACCAACCAGGACUAAAGGAUUUUUUUUGAAAAAAAUGAUUUUUUUUAUUUUCAAAUUUCUGAAUUAUUUGACGAUUUAAUCUCCAAUCACCCCUCAUCACUGCUCAAGUGUGGAGCAAUCAUUUCAAAUCGUCUAACUUCCCGACCGGUCACUCAUUCUCUCACUACUCCAACAUGAGUACGCUUAAUUUCCGAGUUCUAUUCCCCCUGGUUUUCAAGUCUGCAUUUGUUGUUUUCUUGAUAAUAGUAAGUUAUCAAUUUUAUUAACCCUAAGGAGUUUAGCCUGAGCAUGAAGUCACGUUUCACCGUUUGAGUUUGAAACUAUUAUUCUAAAAAACAAUAAUUAUUUAAUAACACUAAUAUUUCUUCAAUAAGUAGUUUGACCAUAGUUUGACUAUAGUUUGACCAUAUUUGACCAAAAUUCAAAAAAACUAAAAUAAUUAUUUACUAACACUAAUAUUCUUGAAUAAUUAAUUAGUAACACUAAUAUUUCUUAAAUAAGUAAUUUGACCAUAGUUUGACCAGAUUUAACCAAAAUUCAAAAAAAAAUUGAGCAUAGCUUUUUUUCGCUUUCAGAAUUUGAGGAUUCUAAAAAUUUGCAAAAUGGCCUACGGCAGCCGAAAUUGGAACCGCAUUUUUGUGCUGAACAUUUUGAUAUAUUAUACGUUUUUUCGACAUCAUAUGCAAAAGAUAUAGUCAUUUACUUUUUCAUAACAUUUUUUUGCAAAACAUGUCGAAAUUUAUGUUUUUAAAUUUCCUUAACUAGUAGAUGUAGUAACAUAACUACAUCUCGAAGGGUUUUAAUUUUUAAAGUUUUUAUCAUUUUCUUUUUUUUUUCAAAACUAAAAAGGCGAUGGGGGAGGGGGUAGAGUUUGAGAAUUGCACAAUCCCUUUAGUCCGGGUUGGAGCCACCAACCUGGACUAAAGGUUAGACCCCUUUAGUCCUGGUUGGUGGCUCCAACCCGAACUAAGGGUCUAACCUAUAGUCCCGGUUUGUGUUACAAAUUGGGACUAAAGGGGCUCGUGGGGUCCCGGCCUGACGCCAGCCUGCCACCACCCCUUUAGUCCCGGUUUGAGACAUAAACCGGGACUAUAGGUCACAAAUAAACCGGGACUAAUAGUAUCAUUAGUACCAGGCCGUAAUUGAAUCGGGACUAUUGAGGUGAACGUAAUGUCGUUUUUCUACUAGUGGCCCCUGAACAUAUCUUAGCCUUAUGUAAUCUAGACUAUAAUGCUCCUGGUUGAUGAAUGAGGUUUUACAUUCGCAAAAAAGAACUGCUAGGACUUUAUGUAUCCCAUCGUAAUCUUCUUCUUUAUUUAUUGCACCUACUACCACAGUAUGACUGGCAUGGCACUAACAACCUAACCGUACCUUUGGGAUUUCAUUUUUUAUGCACACAUUUUCAGGUUUUAUUUGGCUUUUCUUUGACUAGCAAAAGAGCCCGUUGUCGGUGUCAAAACCGGCGGAUCUCGGGUAGGGCGUCCCGAUCUGUGCGUCUAAGGCUAAUGGUAGCAGGAGGCAGGGACACAAUGUUUUACCCAGGUUCGGGCCCUCUCGAUGGAGGUAAAACCCUACUUCCUGCUUGAUUGAUCUUGAUGAUAUGAGUAUUACAAGAGUUGAUCUACCACGAGAUUGUAGAGGCUAAACCCUAGAAGCUAGCCUAUGAUGAUUAUGAUUGUUCUUCUACAGACUAAACCCUCUGGUUUAUAUAGACACCAGAGGAGGCUAGGGUUACACAGAAUCGGUUACAAAGAAGGAGAUCUAAUAUCCGAAUCACCCAGCUUGUCUUCCAUGCAAAGGCAAGUCCCAUCCAGACACGGGACGAAGUCUUGAGUCUUGUAUCUUCACGGUCCAACAGUCCGGCCAAAGUAUAUAGUACGGCAGUCCGGAUACCCCCUAAUCCAGGACUCCCUCAGUAGCCCCUGAACCAGGCUUCAAUGACGAUGAGUCCGGCGCGUAGAUUGUCUUCGGCAUUGCAAGGAGGGUUCCAUCUCCGAAUACUCCAAAGCAGAUUAAGGAUUAUGUCCAGCUCUGCGAGAUUAUUUCCGCACACCACCGUAGAGAGCAUAACACUUUACAAAUCUGAUCUGCUGACAAUUUUUUUUCACAGUGAGUCCUUACGCAGUGGCCUGGCUCAAUACAAACCGGUUUUUCUCGGCCUGCCUCGACACGCGUUGCGAGGUGGUUUUAUUGGCACGCCUUGCCAAAGCAGAGAUCGUGUUCCCAUUAUCGUGGGAUCCUCCAUCAAUACGGGCGCGUGCAACCCCACGACGCCUGUUGGUAUGACUCCGUGUUUUUAGGUAAGUCCCAAGCGGUUACGGUGAGGACGCUUGAUAUUCACCCCCUUUAUAGAGGGGUCGAGGCCUAUCCCUCUUUCCUACCACGCUUGCGCCUUUCCGCAUCUCGAGUUCCAACACCCGAAGCCCAAGCUUAAGCACUUCGGAUCUUCAAUCAUGUCCGGAUCCAACCUUCAAGGCCGGUGGAUGGCCUCCUCUGUCAUAGAGGAGGACAUUGCGAAGCUUAGGGAGGUCAGAUAUCUGACCGCCGACAUCAAGCACAGGCUUCCUGCUCCAGGGCAGGUCAUCCCUACUCCCGAACCCAACGAGAGCGUCGUAUUUGUUUCUCACUUCCUCUGCGGCUUAGGCUUCACCCUCGAUCCCUUUGUGAGAGGGCUCAUGUUCUAUUACGGGCUAGAUUUUCAUGAUCUAGCUCCGGACUCCAUCCUUCACAUCUCAUCGUUCAUCGUCGUGUGCGAAGCCUUCCUCCACAUCACCCCGCACUUCGGCUUAUGGCUCAAGACCUUUAAUGUGAAACCAAAGAUGAUUGAGGGGCGACACGCGGAAUGUGGAGGUGCUGCAAUAAGCAAGAACGCCGAUGCCCCAUGGCCAGAGGGCUUCUUCCUGGAGGUGUCCGAUCUAUGGCAGCGGAGGUGGUUUUACGUCAUGGCUCCCAGAGGCACAAAGUGGGUGGCUGCCCCCGACUUCCGCUCGGGCCCUCCGCCUCAACUGGCGUCGUGGGCCAAUGUGGGACUGGAUUGGGGGCCUGCUAAUGAUGUACCAACAUUGCAGAACCGCAUUCGGGAGCUUCUUGAGAGGGACAUUAGUCUUGUUAGUGUAGUUCAGGUAAUGCUAGUCCGACGGAUCUUGCCGUGCAAACGUCGGCCUCUCCGGAUGUGGGAGUUCAACCCAGAAGUUCCGUGGACUAUUCUGCACUUCUUCAGCAUGACGCUCGAAGAGAUGUGUAAAUUAUUCUUCGGACCACAAGUAAAGUGUCCGGACACCAUCGAGGAUGCGGGCCUGAGCUGCAACCAGCCCGAUACCCAAGUAAGUAACCCAGAAACCAAACACUUCGUUUAUAUUUAUCAUAACAUUGUUCUGAAAACCAUCCGCGGCCAGGAAUGGCUCAGCAAGGCGGAGAGAAUCAGGUGUCGGGCACCGCUUCCCGAAGGCUCGCCUAGUCCUGCCAUAGCCAGGAUGCUUAGUCGUGUGCUAAAUCAAGUGCCCUCGGGGAAAGAUGAAGGGAAGAACAGAGAAGCAGAGCUUCACACAUUGCACAUCCAAACUGGGGGAAUUACUACCUCCACGAAGGAGGAUAGUCGGGGAGGGGAAUCUACGGUCUCCUCCCCCCGCGGGAAGAAGAGGGACGCCUCUGAAGACUUGGAGACGGAGGUGUCUAGACAGGGGAAGAAAACUUCACCAGGGGGCCCUGCCCCGAAGGGCGUCCUCACCGCGCCAUGCCCGCAAACGGGCCAGCCCUCAGCCGAGCUGUAAGUUAAUCGUAAAUACAAAGCUACUACUUCCUCCUCCGAGAACAAUAACCAGGAUCAAUUCUUUGCAGUCCGGCUAGCAGCUCUUCUCAACAGAGUUCGUCUUCGGGGGAUCUUCUUCCGGAGAUGAUGGAGAUUGAAACCCCACCCGCCUCUCCGCCUCAUGGGGCGGGCGACCCCGAGGUGUCGUCACGGAGGAACCCAGAUUUUCCGAGGCCAGAAGCUAAUACUUCGGCCGCCCUGAGCCCGGAGCAUUCGGCUCCCACGGGGGGUGAUAAGAAGGGUCCGGCAUAGUUCAGCGACCGGCCGGACACGCUGACAGGCCUUCUGGAGCAAGCUGCUCUCUCGGAGGAUUACCGUUCAUUAAUGAGCAUGGUGCUUGAGAAUAUUUCAUCCGCCACAAGCGGGUUGAACGAAGCUUUUACGAGCCUGCUCAAAGGCUUUGAGGUAUGUAAUAAAAUUCAUAAUUUUUGCUUGUGGCGCACGCGCUAGGUGUGCUCCGUAUAGAUAGUAGCCCCUGAGACUCUGGUUGCCAGCCCUAGGCGGCAGACGGAGGAUCACAUUGUUAAGUAAUGAUCACACUGAAUUCAUGCGCAGGUGGCUAAGGGUCCGGCGGCCGACCGGUCCGUUGAAGUCGCCGAACUGAGGCGACAGAUUGAAGUUGUGGAUGCCGACAUCACACUUGUGAAUGAGCGGCUUAGCGAGUCACAAAGUAUGUGCUCUGCUUUCUUUAUUUUUAUAGGAAAUAUUUAAGAGGAGCAUAAUGUUAAUGUGAUAUGCUUCGACUGCAGGCGGGGCUGCCACCAUGGAGACCCUGAGGGUGGAGCUUGCCCUAGCCAAGGAGCAAGCCCGGGCUAGCAAUGUGGCUGCCCUAAAGGCGGCCGAAGAGUUGAUAGCCGAACAGGCUGCUAAUCACCAAAGCGAAGAUAAAUUAGCCGAGAUGGCUGUGGAGCUGAAAAACGCCGCCGGCCGGUAUGAGCUCCUUGAGAAAGAGAAUCAGGCGAAGUCGGAUAACCUGAAGAAGGCCCUUGAUGCGGCCAAGGAGACGCGUUUCGAAAUUAGGGAUGCGCGGGAGGAGCUUUGACAGGCCGGAGAAAUCGCGGCUGGAAGCCCCUAUUUGUUGCGGAUGAAGUUCUUAGAUCCAAAGUACGCUCCUCUACAUCAGCGCUGGAGCCAUGCAGACGCGUAUGCGGAUCUGGCGAAGAGUACGGCUGAUGCGGCCAAGUUUUUCUAGGAUCAAAAAGAUAAUGAAGUGGAAACGUUGUUCUGGUUGCAAUUCAGUGCUCCAACGCACCUGUUGCCCUUGAGUGAAAGGAUGGCCGCUGUGGCCGAGCUCCAUAGGUUGUCCGGUCUUGCGAUGAGGUCUGUAAUAGACCAUCUAUGGCCAAAGGGGCUGAAGCCGGACAUUUAUUUUGGUUUAGUGCAACAAUUUCUUGGUGUUGUAUCACGAAUCGAUGCCAUGAAGAGGUCGACGAGCAUAGAGGGUGCGCGGAUGGCUCUUGCUUGUGUUAAAACAUAUUGGACAGAUAUGGAGGCCACCAUCAUUGCAACCCAAAAUCCGGCGGGAAGCCAGGAUCCAGCCGAGCACUACUUGGAGCAGGUAACAGAAGGUGCUCGUUUAAUAGAGGCUCAGUGCUCGAAGAAUGUCAUGUUCGAGUGACAAAUCGUUCUAUUGUAAAAACAAUUGUAUUUUAAUUAUAGAGGCUAUGUUUAUACUUUCUCCCGAAAGUGCUAUUGUGCCUCCUGUGCGGCCGUUUGAUGUAUAUAUAACCUGAAAGUUAGUAGUCGUUGGCUUCAGCCCCCACACAUACAACACGGAGGUGUUCGCAAAAAGAUGCAUAAUCACACUUGAUCCAACGUCUUGGUCCGUUAAGGAGGUGAUCGCAUGUCGAACUAGGCAACCGGACUAUAUAGCUUUAACACUUCCACUUAGCCAUAGGAGUUUGACAGUGGGGCUACUAUGUAGCCCCUGGUACCUUCGCGUUCAUCCGGAUACGGGCGCGUAUGUACAUGACCGGGGAACGGCCCUUCAUUAAUGCGAAGGAACCCUAAAGAUUCCGAUGAGUCCUCGAGUGGUUGACCAGUCUCUCGCUAUAUCAUGACAGUCAGUUCUCGGCUUUCUCUACUGAGAUGCUCAUCCGGAAUAACCAGGGCACAAUCACAGUAGUUCUCCUUUGGCCGCCUUAGCUAAUAAAAACGGAACGUAAGGCAGCAAAACCCAGGAGCCAGGCAAACCCAACAUUUGACCAAAGACAUGAUUCGGAGCUGAUGCAUAUAAGGCCAAACUCGCGACGCCGAACACUCCCGAGGGUAUUCGGACUUUAUAACAUGUACUGGGCUGAGUAACACCCUUUAUUAUGAACCCUGUAUUUCCAGGUACGCGCAUUAUUCUGUCGUGGCGAAAUGCCAAUAAUGCCAGUAUCCCCUGUGGGUGUAUUGAGUACCCAUGGGAUGUUAAGAAACAAGAGACAAUAAAGAAGAUUUACACAGGGGCUUAAUCUAAAGAGAAACCUUUGAGCGGGGCCCUGCUGCACGUCUGCGCCUUUAUCUCCGUUGUGCCGUGUACUGGAAGGGUAUCACAUGAAUGUUAUCUGAAAAAAGGAAAACUCAUGUAAAAGAGUAUGAUGUAAGCGUGCGAAGAGUUGGUUAUUAUCAGUGGAUAGCAGAAGUGUAAGACAUUGGCCUGUUAAUAAGGUCAAGCCAAAAGGUGGGCUUUAUUGAAUAUCUGUAGCCCCUGGUGUCCUCUAUGGGAUUACAUGUAUAGCACCCAGCUUAGGUUUAUUUGGGCUGUUACUGACGGUGGUGUGCCGGACUCAUCUAACCGUGUCCGUGGUCUUAACGACCGAUCAUGCAUUCUGAUAUUAGAGGUCGCUUAGCGUCCGGCUGCUAGAGCCGCCGCAUACUCUUCCGCACGCAAGGAAUGCUCUGUAUUUCCGUUAACGGUGAUGACGCCACAUGGGUCGGACAUCUUGAGUUUAAGGUAGGCGUAGUGCGGUACUGUGUUGAAGUGGGCAAAGGCCGCUCUCCUGAGCAAUGCAUGAUAACCACUUUGUAGGGGAGCGAUGGUGAAGAGUAGUUCUUCACUUCUGAAGUUGUCUGGAGAACCGAAUGUCACCUCUAAUACGAGGGAGCCCCUGCAGCGGGCCUCAGCGCCUGGUAUCACCCCUUGAAAGGUAGUGUUACUUUGGCUGAUUCUGGAUGGGUCUAUCCCCAUCCUGCGGACAGUGUCCUGGUAUAUUAGAUUGAGACUACUGCCGCCGUCCAUGAGGACACGAGUGAGAUGGUAUCCGUCGAUUAUUGGGUCGAGCACCAAGGCAGCCGAUCCUUCGUGCCGCAUACUAGUCGGGUAGCCCCUGUGAUCAAAGGUGAUCGGGCAGGCCGACCAGGGGUUGAGUUCGAGGGUGACGGGCUCUACAGUGUAUGCGUCUCUGAGCGCGCGUUUGCGCCUACUCUUGGGUAUGUGAGUCGCGUAGAUCAUGUUUACUGUUUUUACCUCUGGUGGGAAUUUUUUCUGUCCCCCAGUGUUCGGCUGGCGAGGCUCAUCCUCGUCUUCACUUGGUGUUUCCCUUUCCUUGUGUUCGACAUUUAACUUGCCGGCCUUCUUAAAGACCCAGCAUUCUCUGUGAGUGUGGUUCCCAGAUUUUUCGGGGGUGCCAUGAAUUUGGCACAGUCUGUCUAGGACUUUGUUCAGUCCGGACGAUCCCUCUUUGCUGCCUUUAAAUGGAUUCUUUUGUUGACCGGGUCGAGAGCCCCUGAAUCCGGCGUUGAUCGCUAUGUUGUCUGGACUUUCUUCCUUGUUUCGACGCUUGUUUUUAUUGCGCCGUGGCUUCCCGUUGCCAUCACUGAUUUUGGAUGUGCCUGGGUCGCUGGUGCCUCUACGGGCCAACCAGCUGUCUUCACCCGCGCAAAAGCGGGUCAUAAGGAUUGUUAAGGCUGCCAUUGUCCUCGGCUUUUCUUGGCCGAGGUGUCUGGCGAGCCACUCAUCCCGGAUGAUGUGCUUGAAGGAUGCUAGGGCUUCGGCAUCCGAACAAUCAACAAUUUGAUUCUUCUUAGUGAGGAAUCUAUUCCAAAGCUUGUGGGCGGACUCUCCAGACUGUUGAAUUAUGUGACUUAAAUCGUCAGCGUCCAGAGGUCGGACAUAGGUUCCUUGAAAAUUGGCCCUGAAAGCGUCCUCAAGUUCCUCCCAACUUUCGAUUGAAUUUUCGGGGAGGCUUUUCAACCAGUGCCGAGAUGGUCCCUUCAAUCUUGAGGGGAAGGUAUUUGAUGGCGUGGAGGUCGUCCCCCCGAGCCAUAUGGAUAUGAAGGAUAAAAUCCUCAAUCCAGACCCCAGGGUCUGUCGUUCCGUCAUAUGCCUCUAUGUUCACGGGUUUAAAACCCUGUGGAAAUUCGUGGCCCAGUACCUCUUCGGUGAAGCACAGAUGGUGAGCAGCCCCUCUGUAUCUGGACAUGUUGUGGCAUGCUGUCGAUUGUUGUUGUGUCUGGUGCUGAUUCCGAACUGUUAUUCGAUCAGUUUGAUUGUUUUGGUGACCAUAAUCCUGCGCUGGAGCGUGCCCUCUAGAUCCAUAGAUGGACCUCGUCGCGCCGGCCUUUUUGUCCAGGAGCUCACGUAAAUCGUGUGCGGCGUCAGUAGCUGCUCUAUUGUGGUCAUGAAGUGGUUGGUCCGGCCUACUGGCCGUAUUGUUCUUCGAUGGAAUAGCCUCAUCGUCGAAUUUUGGCAGCAGCUUGCGCUUUGGGUAGCUCUUUGUGUGGUGAUCGUCGCCGUAUUUUUCUUCAGUGUCUAGCACUUUAUUCCAUCUGCGAUUGAGCAUUUCCUGCGCGGCCUUAAGCCUUUGCUUCUGCUUCUUUAGACUUCUCGAAGUGGCCAUAAGCCUUCUGUGGAGGUUAUCUCGUUCCAAACAUUUUUACGGGAUGAUGAAUGCAUCGUCGCCCGGACUGUGCACCUCUCCCGAGGCAGUUUGAUGAGUAAGGCCCUCGGGAUCGCUGUGAUCGAGCGUCUGCUCUGGGAUGUGUUCGGCGUGACUGGCUCAUCCUGCUCCAUCGCUGGGUCCAUAUGGUCGUUGUUGCCUUUGGAGUUGGUGGGGUGUCGAUCUUUCUAGCACUGUUAUCGCUAUUUUUACUGUGGCUGGACUUAGAGUGGCGUCUACGCCGUCGUUUUGGCUUUUGUCCGGGGGUUUUAUCCUCCGUUGUGUCUUUUUUGUCGCUGUCGUCCUCCUUAGGCGUGUCCACCAUGUAUAUAUCAUAUGAUGAGGUGGCAGUCCAGCGCCCCGUGGGCGGUGGUUCCAAAUCAUCCCCUGCGCCGACGUCCAUACCGUCGGUGUCAUCGGAGUCGAAGUCAAGCAUGUCUGUUACGUCAUUGACAGUGGCUAUGAAGUGGGUGGUGGGUGGGCAACGAAUUUCCUCGUCGUCUGCUUCCCACUCGAGCCGGACAUAGUUUGGCCAAGAGUCUCCUGACAAAGAGAGAGACUUUAAUGAGUUCAGCAUGUCGUCAAAGGGCGAGUGGUGGAAGAUAUCCACAGCGGUGAACUCCAUUACCAGAGCCCGACCAGAUUCGGCGGGCUCGGGAGCGCGCGGUCUGGAACCUACAGCCGGACACGAGUCCAGGGGUCCGGUGACACAGGCUUCCUUGGGGGUGGAGUCUGUGUUCGGCUCUACCGCCGAUGAGUGUGUGGCCUCCGGGGCGGGGUCCAUCCACCUGUCCUCGGACGCCGUGAUCUGGCCCGGAUUUAGGUCUGGAGCUCCUGCAGGUGCGAUAUCCCGAAUAUUGUUCCGACAGCAGGUCUAGGCCGUGCUCGUCGUGACUGUUCGGUGCGCCUGGCGUAGGCCCGAAUCCGUCAAAGAUCAAGUCUCCGCGGAUAUCGGCCGUGUAGUUCAAGUUUCCGAACCUGACCUGAUGGCCAGGGGCGUAGCUGUCGAUCUGCUCCAGAUGGCCAAGCGAAUUGGCCCGUAGUGCGAAGCCGCAGAACACGAAGAUCUGUCCAGGGAGAAAAGUCUCACCCUGGACCGCGUUGUUGUUGAUGAUUGAAGGAGCCAUCGAGCCUUGCAACAACGACACAGAGGAACUCUCAAUGAAAGCACCAAUUUCGGUGUCAAAACCGGCGGAUCUCGGGUAGGGGGUCCCGAUCUGUGCAUCUAAGGCUAAUGGUAACAGGAGGCAGGGGACACGAUGUUUUACCCAGGUUCGUGCCCUCUCGAUGGAGGUAAAACCCUACUUCCUGCUUGAUUGAUCUUGAUGAUAUGAGUAUUACAAGAGUUGAUCUACCACGAGAUCGUAGAGGCUAAACCCUAGAAGCUAGCCUAUGAUGAUUAUGAUUGUUCUUCUAUGGACUAAACCCUCCGGUUUAUAUAGACACCGGAGGAGGCUAGGGUUACACAGAGUCAGUUACAAAGAAGGAGAUCUAAUAUCCGAAUCGCCAAGCUUGUCUUCCACGCAAAGGAGAGUCCCAUCCGGACACGGGACGAAGUCUUGAGUCUUAUAUCUUCACGGUCCAACAGUCCGGCCAAAGUAUAUAGUCCCGCAGUCCGGAUGCCCCCUAAUCCAGGACUCCCUUACCCAUGCACUGCAAUGGGAAAAAAUAUCACACGUGGUUUAGCAUUUUAGCAAUACAAUCGCCGACUUUCAUAUGUCUAGUUCAUUCACUCCCGUGUCCAGGCUGCUCGGGUGCCCAUUGCAUCUAGCUACAACGAUUCCACGAGCCCUCUCGCGGGGGCGACGUGUGUCGUCCGACCCCAGACGAACCGAUGUCUGUCCCUUUCGAUAUCUUCUUAGCGGUCGUCAUCCUCGUCUCUCCCCCAUUGCUCUUCUCACACUCUCGGUUCCUUCUCCCUUUCCAGCGGGGAACUACCACCAUGAGCAGCACUCCCAGUCCCCCUCUCGACGGUCGCCACUACUUCACUUCAAGGCCUCCCCCAUAGGCUCUCGAUCCAGAUCGGAUCGGAUCAAGGCCAUCACCUUCUUCCUCUCUUCCUUCACCCUGAGCAGGAGCAAAAGCAGGGAGCCGCUGCCGCCAGCACCACGGACGUCGUCGCGUCGCCGCCGCCUUCCAGGUCAUCGGUCGCCAUCGCCCAUCCCGGGCCGUCCCUCACCGGCAGGGCGUAGCCGCAGGCGCCUGUCCUUCUCUGCGACCAACGCCGACAACGCUGCCAUGGACCGUCCCAGGCCGUCCCUUGCCGGCGAUGCGCCCGUCCGAUUAUUUUGUGUUCCCAAGGUUUUCCAUCCGAGUCAACGGAUUUGUAACCUCCGAUUAUUUUGUGUUCCCAAGGUUUUUCCAUCUGAGUUAACGGAUUUGUAACCUCCUUAUUCCCUUGCUCCCUCUUCCCAAUUGUGAGGUUAAUCUCUGGUUUGCUGAUUUUUGAAACGAAACUGCAAUUAGAGAGGCAAUAAUGCUCUCUUUUAUUGAGUGGUGGGGUCCACUAGGACGUGUUGGCCGUCGGUUGGUCUUGCACAUGCGUGUUGCUAUGUCCCAUGCUCAGGAUUCCUUCAACAAUUAGAGAUUUCAUUGUUCCUCCUUUGAUCAAUUCCAUCCCUUUCAUGGGAGUGGCGUUUUGGUGCCCGUGCCCAGCUACUCCCGAAAUCAUCGUCGUUCGCUCGGUGCUCCGGAUGAGAACAAUCCAGCUAGCAGCUCUGGUCCAUGGACCAGGACGUUGGCUCUUGCACUGAGCCACGGAUCAGAAAAAAGUGUGCAACCUGACAUUACACGUGCGCUUCACGUGAGCACACAACAAAUCAUAGUGGCGAUCUCCCCAGUACCUGGGUCGUUCUAGAAUCGUCUCCACACCUCUGCCCGCUGAAAUCAUCUCUCUUCCACCUUCGUAGAGCACCGGAAAGCCGCGCGGCGGCACAAAAUCUGUACCAGAAACCAGAAGAUGGAAGAUUGUGGGCUUGAGUUAUUGCUCGAUGCUGUCAACAGGUUAGUCCCCGUUAAAUCUAAUCUUUUUACUUAGGGUAUAAAAACUGUCAGCCGAUAGACCGGGGAAAUAUGCUAACGGCUGCCAUGGCCGGACCUUGUUGCCUCUUGAAAUCAGGUUACCGCUCCGGGGAGGAGUUCGCCAACAGCAUAAACCACCCAGAUCCGGUGCCGCUAGCCUUUCUACGGAAGAGCUUGACUAACGGUGGAGGCCAGACGAACUAAAACAAUGGGUCAGGUUGCGGCAAGAGAACGAACGGGACCGUACGCCGCCGUUCGGAUCCUUUUCAUACGCACUCAGUGUAGUCAACUGAUAGAGUUGACCCACAAGCCCCGGGUUGGACAAAGGUCUGAACCCCAAAUACUAUCGUUUUAGAACUGCAGUUUUCAGAGUGACCGUCGCGCAAACUGUUUCUUUGGGUCGGUGAGACAUGAGAAAAACGCACCAGACAUGGCGGAAGACGAACCAUGGAGCACGGCAACGGGUUUUUCUGGAUAGUGUUUCUUGUGAAGGGGAGCAGGAUGAGGGGAAUGCUGUUAUGGAUGGGCUGGGGCAGGGCAGGUGACCUUCAAGGAGGCCUGAGUCACGGCCACGGCUCACGGUGGAACAGGAAAAUGCCCGAGCCAUGAACCCACCUGCUCCACACAUACUGUUUCGGCUCCGUCGCCAUCAAUGCAUGACAGUGCUGAGGCAUUUUUUAUAACAAUACAUUACAUAUACGACUAGAAAAUAUAAUUGCGGGCACAAAUCCUCGUGCAUGCGAACGGAUAUGAUUUUGAGAGCAUCUGAGCUUGAGCUCAGAAACGAAUAUCCCACGAGUAAAAAGGUUUUCCGGAUACAUAGCAUUCCUACAAUUAGCUACUAGAAGCCAGAAGGUUUCGUCCAUAAGAUUUGCAUAAGCAACAUAAGAAGUUCAACACUGGUAAAGUAGAUCGAAACUUGCAUGCAUGUCUAAGCACUCUAGCUUGAUUAGCAGUGCCCAGACUGAUCGGUGUAUCGGUUGGUUACGAGUAGGGCAGCUGUUGAGCGCAGUCCAAGUUGUCCCCAAGGUCCUUGACGUCGAGGAUCUCGCAGUACCGGCGGUAGUACCCGAUCCUAUCCUCCACCCUCGGAUCCCCAGGGCGGUUGCACUCGAGCCCGCCGUUGAUGAUGUUGGUGGUGAGCCCGAGCCCCGCCGUCCGGUUUGCCAGCUUGUCGGCCUCGGUGGGCACGUACCGCCCCAGCAUCACGUCGUGGCACGACGGCUUGGGCUCCUGCGGCGUCAUCCAGAACCACAGCGCCGCCUUGAACGCCACUACCGGAUCGCUCGCCACGAGCUCCGGCUGCCCCAGCCCGUCGAAGCACAGCGCCUCCCCCGCCGGCCCGUAGUUGUAGUUCCUGAAAAAUAGACGUUGAGAUAGUGGCGUGCGGCUGUACCGGCGGCGCGUCGCCGAACAUCGACACCGGGAGUGAUGAGUUUCUUUGUGGAAUGCUCACCAGGAGAGCUGCAUGGGUCCGCGGCCGUGGUAUGACUUGCCCUCGACGCAGGGCCACUCCUUGUUUUCGGCGUCGCAGUAGUUGCUGGACGCAUUGAUCUCUUCCUUGAAGCAGAGGCCCCAUGAGUAGGGCCCGUCGGGCGCCGUCGACCACCCCCCGGUGGUCUCGUGGGAGAUCUGCGCCAGGAAGGCGGCGACCUCGCGCCUGCGCGUGUCCGCGUCGACGUGGUGGGCGCCGCUGCCGAACUCCGGGAACCACUCCGCCGCCGUGACGAAGGAGUAGUAGUUGUAGAACCCCUUGGCUGGGCAGGCAGUGUUGUCCUUGUGCAGGAACAUGCUCGAGAACAUCUCCUCGGUCACGAUCGAUGAGAUGUGGUGGCGGCGGCCGUAGCGGCCGCGGAAGACGUGGCGCCACCCGGGCCACUGCCACGAAAACGCUUCCGCGACGCCGACGUUCAGGAUGAGGGUAGCGGCGGCCAGGGAGAAGGCCAGCAGGACGGGAGGAAGAAGCAAGCGCGCCAUCCUCGUGGCUAGCUCUAGAAGCUUAGAGCAUUGACGGCGGCAAGGGCGGCAGCAUCUGAGCAGUGUGAAGCCUGAGCUUAUGUAGGGGAUGCAUAUGCGGUGCGGUGGUGAUCUGAGAACGUGGCACGUGCGGCGCGGUGGUAUCGGCGUAGUGGCCGGACAGAGAACACAGCGACCGGGGUGGCGGCUACUGGCAAGGUUCUUUUGCAUGCGGUGAUGGGGUUUGACUUGAUCUGGGGACAAUAAUUGUUCUGGCCUUCGGGAAAUGAGCUAGGUCAAUGGCUUCCUCGCUUAGUGGGUCAACGAACCGGAGGCAUAGAAACAUGUGGCGUCGGACAUGCUCCAUGUUAGCUCAAGAUGCCAUCUUUUUUCUUUGGACGCCCAAUAAUGCCCCAAACGUUCGGUCUGGGGAGGAGCCUGCUUUUCCCUUUACUCACAGAAAACACUGCUUCCCCUUUUUUUUAAGAACAAUUCUCUUCGCCAAAACCUAAGAAAAACCAAUGAAAACGGAAAGCUAAAAAAACAAAUCUUUUCCUAAUAAUAAAGCACAGAUUGAUUCCGUGGGAUCACCGUCACAAUGCGCUUCUUUCCGUGAAUUUACGCUUUCAGGAUUUUGUACUUAUUCCCUAAUCUUUCCCUAAUAAUAAAGCACGGAUUGACUCCAUGAGUUCACCGUCACAAUACGCUUCUUCCCGUAAAUUUACGCUUUCAGUUUUUUUUACCUCAAUACGCUUCUUCUCGUGAAUUUACGCUUUCAGUUUUUUUACCUAUUCCCUAAUCUUUCCCUAAUAAUAAAGCACGGAUUGACUCCGUGGGUUCAUCAUCACAAUACGUUUUUUCCCGUGAAUUUACGAUUUCAGUUUUUUUUACCUAUAUUAUUUUCUACAUCCGAGGUGGUACUAUUCUCUGACCUUUUUGGUUUUUUUGGUAAUGUAUGUCCAUCCCAGAAUCGACACUACUAGGAAAAGGGCUAUAGAUGGGAUGGGCACUAAUGGCGCACUGUACAUGUGGUGCGCCAUUACUAAAUACUAAUGGCGCACCAUGUGUUGGUGCGCCAUUAGUGUGCAAAUACUAAUGGCGCACCACAUCCCACGGUGCGCCAUUAGUAAUUUUUUUUAAUUUUUUCAAAACUACUAAUGGCGCAUCGUGAGAGUGGUGCGCCAUUACUUGCUAUGUGCUGCACCGACCGGCCCUGAUUCGAGAGAAUCCAAUCCAACCAAAGCAACACAACACAACACAACGCUUCCUCCUCCUCUCCCCUCGAAUCGAUCCCCUCCAAACCCGCCGCCGCCGCCGUGGACCUCCUAUCCCCAUCCCCACCGGCGUUCUCGUCUCCUCUAGCCUCACCCUCGACCUCCCGCCCCACCCUGCAUCCCGUCGCCGGCGCCCCCACCCUCUCCCCUCUCCGCCUCUUCCUAGGAGGGAGCGAGGCCUCAGAUCCACAGGCCGCAGCAACCACCACCACCGUGUCCUACUCCUUCCACCCCACCUAGCCGCCCUUCGCCUCCACAGCUCUCCGUCCCUCCCUCCUUCCUCGCGCCCGCAGCCAUGUCGACCGAGCUCAGGACCUCUCUCCUCUAAGACCAAAACGCAGGCAGCAGGCCAGGGCGACUUCAGCGCCCCCACAACCGGAGAGGAGGGAAGAGGAGGCGGAGAUGCUGCUGCUGCACGGGCUGACGGGGAAGAACAAGCAGGCGUGGAAGGAGGGCAAGAUCCGCGGCACGGCGGUGCUGGUCAAGAGCGGCGUGCUCGACCUCGGCGACUUCAACUCAUCCGUCCUCGACAGCGUCCACAAGAUCCUCGACG